UUCAAUUUGCGCCCUUUAUAAUUUAGAAACUUUACUAUUAUAUGGGUGUAGAUCUCUUCAAAAUCUACCCUCAAAUUUACAAAUUCUAGUCAAUUUGCGUGUUCUCGACAUCACUUAUACACCUUCAAUGAAAGGGAUACCGGUUGGAAUUGGUAACUUAACCAAUCUUCGAAAACUAUCUGAUUUUGUUUUGGGCAAAGGUGAUGGACAUCAUAUACAAGAGAUGAAGAAUUUGUUAAAUCUGAAGGGUAAGCUUUGUAUCUCAGGGUUAGAGAACAUUGUUAAUGCUCAAGAUGCAUGGGAGGCUAAGUUAAUAUAUAAGUCUGGCCUUGGCACAUUAGAACUAAAGUGGAGUAGAGAAUUUGAUAAUAAUAGAAAUAAAGAAAUUGAAGAAGAGGUCUUGAAUUUGCUUGAACCUCAUAAAAAGCUUGAAGAGCUCUUCAUUCAGGAUUAUGGUGGUACAAAAUUUCCGAUUUGGAUGAAUUCUUCAUUACAAAAUUUGUCGUCUUUGGUUCUCAAGGGCUGUAAAAAUUGCGUAUCACUACCAUCAAUUGGAAAAUUACCAUUGUUGAAGAAUCUUUCUAUUGCUGGAAUGGAUGAGUUAAAAAAGGUUGGCAUUGAGUUCUAUGGGGAGAAUCACUCAAAUGUAUUUGCUUUGUUACAGAGUUUGAGCUUUGAGAAUAUGCCACGAUGGAAGGAAUGGGACUUAGUUGAUGAGCAAGUUGAGAAAUUCCCUAGCCUCAUCGAGCUUUCCAUCAAAAACUGCCCUCAAUUGUUGGGAAGGUUGCCUAACCAUCUUCGUUCCUUGGAGAAGCUUGAAAUUCGUGACUGUGCACAAAUGGUGGUUUCACUUUCAGACCUUCCAAAGCUGUCUGAAUUAAUAAUACAUGCAUGUGCAGAGUUGGUGCUCAGAGAUGAUGCAGACUUUCUCUCAAUAAAAGGAGUCAAUCUUUCAAGUGUUGUAAAGUUUUCUACUGCAACAGAAAGGCUGGUAUCAACAUCAACAACAUUGGAGCAUUGUAAGAUUGACAGUUGUGAGGGAUUGACAUAUUUAUUGCUAAAGAAGUUGGGACUGUUGGGCUCUGUCCGUAAAUUGGAAAUUUAUAAAUGUCCACAACUUGUGUUGUUAGAGCCAGAUGAGGUAGAGGAGGCAGAAGAGGAGCUGUUUCAAGUUGGGAAUCUUUGGAAUAUUGAAUCUUUGGAAAUAAUGCAAAUUGGUCUCCAUAUGGAAUCUUUGAGAAUAAGAAAGCAUUUUCUCCCAUUUCUUACAGAGAUGAGUAUUCAAAACUGCCCAAACAUAGUUUGUUUUGCAAAGAACAACUUACCCCCGCUUUUGAAGAAGUUAGUGAUGGUAAAUUGCGACAAUUUGCGAUGUUUGGUGGAUGAAGGAGAAAAUAUAAGCAUCACUAACAUAUCUCCUCUUGAGUUUUUGUAUAUUCGUGAAUGUCCAUCUCUAAUAUCAUUAUCAUUACCCGUUAGGCUUCGACAUCUUGAACUUUCGAGUUGCUCAAAGCUAGCUUCCUUAUCAGAAAGUGGCAAGUUACCCAUAGGGCUUAAAUAUCUUAACCUUUUUGUCUGCCCAGAGCUCGAAUCCAUUGCAGAAGCAAUUGACGAAAACGCUUGUCUUGAAUUUUUUUAUAUCUGGGGGUGUGGUAUUAAAUCUUUACCGCAAGGAUUCGACAAGCUCAACCAUCUUCAGAGUAUUCAAAUAACUCGAUGUUCAAAUCUAGUCUCGUUGGAAGGGUUUUUGCCCACCACCAAUUUGACUAACCUUUGGAUCUCUAACUGUAAAAAUUUGCGAGCCCUGCCGAAUUGCAUGCACAACCUCACUUCUCUUCGACAAUUGCAGGUUGAGAAUGAUUCAGGUGAUCAGAUAUCCAUUCCAGAAGAGGGUAUCUCUACCAACCUAACAUCACUUUCCAUCUCAAUGCCCAGAAAUUAUGAGUCUCGACUUGAAUGGGGAUUGCAUAGACUCACCUCUCUUAAAACACUUACCAUUACUGGUAGAGGAUGUCCGAAUAUGGUGGCGUUUCCACCAGAGCAGAUAGGAAUGAUGCUACCUUCCUCUCUCACCGAUUUGAGCAUUGUAAAUUUCGAAAAUUUGAAAUGCCUAUCCUCCAAAGGCUUUCAAAACCUCAGCUCUCUUCAUCAUUUGCGCAUCAUCUGUUUCCCUAAGCUCACAUCUCUUCCUGAAAAAGACAGGCUUCACUCGCUUUUGAUGUUAUUAAUUAUUGAUUGUCCAUUGCUAGAGGAAGAAUGCGAAAGGAACAAAGGACGAGAGUGGUCCAAGAUAGCCUACGUACCUUGUGUUGAAAGUCAUUAUCUCUGAUUCUUUGAUUGAGUUUGACACCCAAAGGAGUUGAAUUGAAAGUUGACUGUGAAAAUCACAGGUAUGAAACCAUUUGAAACGUAAGGCAAUUUAGAAGCUGCUCAUUUUUAACAACAAAAUGAAACUAAUAAUAAUAUUUCUUUUCAUUACUGAUUAUUUGCAGGCAAUUCAAAAGCUUUAGAAGGAAACUUGGUGGGAGACUGGGCUUCUCACUUUUUCAUCUAAAUGGCAGAAUCAGUGUGUAAUUAAUUGUUGGUUAGUAGACUCAUGCACAUACAACAACAGUCUACAGGACCCAACUGGUUUUUCUUCAACUUCAUCGUUGAUUUUGUUUUUUUUCGUUUUCAGACCUAUGAAAAUGCUGUAGAGGCUGAUGAAUGGAGUGGUCAGUUAAUUCUCUGCAACUCUCAUCUACAUUUUUAGGAUUUGAUAACGAUUUGAAAUUCUAAUAGAAUACUAUUGAGUUUUCUUCAUUUCUAUUAUGAUGAAUUUGGUGUAUUUUUUACGAAUUCAAAGUCUGCCAAUUCUAUUUUACUUGCCUAUACCUGGAGGACAUCCUUCACUUUAUUCUUUUAAUUUCACAUCAUUCUCAUUUGAUCUUUGUGUGACAAUUUCUCAUACUCCAAUCUAUCUUACUUUUCUUAAUUUUUUGGAGGAACUGCUUUAUAAAGAAAAGAAAAGAAAACAGAGGAAAGGAAUAUAAGAUUGGAUAUAUGUAGGUUAGAUGCUCCAUUUAAUUCGUUAACAGACUUUAAUUUUCUGCAUGUCUUAUGCUUGUGUGAAUAACAGAUUACUCAUUAUCUGGGCAGAAAAGGAAAUAGGUAUUAGAUCUCACAAGCAAACUUGGAAAAAAUUCAGUGAAUAGAUAUACCACAUCCCAUUCAAAUAGUUGAUUAAAUUUUGAAUGAUAACGAAGUGUUCAUUUAAUUGUACAGGCAGAAACCUGAACAAGAAUCUGAAUAAGGGAAGAAUGAAUUCUGGCCUUCAAAGGUAAUUUGUUGACCUAAUAAUCAAUACAAUUAAAUGGUGGCAUGCCAUUAGGCAACAAUGAGAAAAUCCUUCCUAAGUAAACCAUUUGAUGUAUAACUUUUAAAAGUUUGAGUUGGAACUCUCUCUAACCUUCAUCCUCAACUUUCAGAUAAUCUAGGUACUUAGGGAUGCGUUUGAUGUGCACUUAAAAAGUUGGAUAGGAUUGCAAAUAGAAAUCGUCGCAUACCAGUGAAAAACAAAACUUUACCUGACUUCAUAUGUACCCUUUGUAAUUUAGACACCUUGCAAUUAAAGUGAUGUCACGAGUUAGAAAAGUUACCCUGAAAAAUAGAAAUUCUAGUCAAAUUGCAUCAUCUUGACAUUAGUCAUACAAAUUCAGUGAAAGCAAUGCCCUUUGGAAUUGGUGGACUAACCAAUCUUUAAAAACUGUCUAAUUUUGUUUUGGGUGAAGGUGGUGGAUAUCAGAUAUGAGAGAUGAAGAAUUUGUGGAAUCUUAAGGGUGAGAUUUCUAUUUCAGGCUCGGAGAUUGUUGUUAAAGCUCAAGAUGCAUGGGAAGCUAAGUUGAUUGAUGCCCAGGCCUCAAUGAGUUGGAAGUGGAUUGCAACUUUUGAUAACAAUGCAAGAAAUAAAGAAGUUGAAGAAGUGGUGUUGAACUCGUUGAAUUAUGGCUGUCUUUGCUGCAUUGCUGCCACAGGGGAUUAGUUUCUACACAUUUGGAAACCAGCUUGGUUGGAGUCAGGGUCAGUUACUUUUUGCUCACCAAAUGUUUGAUUAUUUCUUUGGUCAUUUGUGCACUUGCUAGUUUGUGUUUCUUAGUUAUAUUUGGCUUUUUGAAUCUGUCACCAUGCCUUAUAAUGACAGUUUAUGCAGCAUUAGUUGAAAUAUUUUAUGUUUAGUUUAUUUUUAGAAGCAAUGUGUCAAAUAGUGUGAGCAGUUGAAGAUGCUUUUGUUCAGUGUCUUGAUUAUAUAAAUAUGUAUUCUCUUAAUGAAAAGUGAUGUAUGAAGAGCUGAAGUUCUGGUAUUUUUUGAGUUUUGUUUUCCCUCUUUGUUUUUCCGGCAAACUUUGGUCUCUUCAUGGAGAGUUUAGGAUGCAUAUCCUUAAGUUUUUUUUUAUCCAGCAGAAACCAAGGAUAACAUUUCCUUUAUCCCUGGUACAAACUCUUCAAAAUUUAUAACAGCAAAAACUAAGGUUUUUGCUUCUGCCUUCGGCUGCUUCUGCUUGGGUAGCCUUAGACAAGUAAUGUGAGCUCCCACUAAAGCCAAGAGAACUUUUUUGGUCAUCAUAAAGAGCUAAAAUAGCUCACCAUAAUAAUUAUGGGACUACCAAAUUUCCAACUUGGAUGGUAGAUUCUUCAUUACAGAAUUUAUUGUCCUUGAAUAUCAUGAAUUGUAAAAUUGCAGAUCUUACCUGCAAUUGGAAAAUUACCACUGUUGGAAUCUCUUUGCAUUGAAGGAAUGGAUGGAGGCUACCAAAGGUCUUGCUUUGGUCAUGUUCCUUGCAGAUAUACAGAUUGCCAAUGCCCAAGCAUGGUUUCUGUUUUAACGAAUAACCUGCUUCUGACUUGAAGAAGAUUGAGAAAUGAAGAUGGCAAGAAUUUACAGUGUUUGGUGGAUGAAGAAGAAGAUACUAGCACAACUUCACCUCUCUUAAGCCAGUUACGGUUGUUGGCUGUUCAGCUGACAUAUCUUUUCCAAAAGAGGAUUUCCCUACCGACCUAACAUCACUUGACAUCACAUCACCCAAUAUUUGUAGGUCACUACUUUAAUAGGGAUUGCAUAGACUCAGCUCUCUCAAAAAACUGUCCAUUAAUGGUGAAGAAUGUCCAGAUGUGGUGUUGUUUCCACAAGAGGCGAUAGGAAUGAUGCUGCCUCCCCCUCUCUGCGAUAUCAACAUAAGUGAUUUCGACAACCUGAAAUUUCUAUCCUCGGAUGGCUUUCAAAACCUCACGUCUCUUUGGUCUUUCGAGAUCACUGAUUGCUCUAAGCCCACAUCUCUUCCAGAAAAAGACAUGCUUCUCGCACUUUGCUAUUUUCAGAUUGAUGAUUGUCCUUUUCUAGAAGAAUGGUGCAAAAGGGAUAAAGGACAUACCUCAUGUUGAAAACAAUAAUGAACAAAAUUAUCCCAAAGAAGUUGAAAUCUAGAAAUUGAAAGUCAAAAGGUAUUAAACCAUUUGAAAGAUAGGCCAGAUAAUUGAAUUCUGAUUAUUUAUUCAUUUAAUUUUUGUUAGAUACAUAAGAUAAUAGUAAGUCUGAUAUGUUAUUGAUGAUAUAUAAUUAAUUUACAGCCACAUUGGAGGCUUGAAAGCUACAAAGUGCAGUUCGUAUAUAUAGCUCUAUUCAAAGAUCAGGUACAAGCUUCUCAUUUUCUUUUUCCAUUUCACUUGCACUUAAGCAUAGCAUGCUCAUCAAUCCACAACAUUUAACCAUUAAAACACUUGUGCUCCUCUAACUUCAGGUCUAAACACCUCUUGGUGUGAAUUUGUUGAUUCAUCAUUUUGGCUUACGAAACUGAUUAAAAAGUUCAAGGAUGAAAGGUGAGUUGAUUUUUUUCUACUUUUUUAUGUCAUGUACAUUGAAGAAUUGAAAAGUGAUUGUUAGAAUAUAUACGCAGUUUCAUGGACAAAAUUGUGUUUUAUUUUUUGGUAAGUUAUAUAUUCGUUCAUACAGAAGCAUAUUUGUUUUGAUUUCAGGAGAUUGCCAUUUUGUUAAAGAAAAUUUCUCUUUCUCCUUUUCCAUAUUAUCAAUUUUCUUUGUACGUGAUUACUUUAAACCACACGAAUUAUGCUUUCCUUGAGUAUGUUGGAUAGUGAACUACUUUCUGUUCUUUUAGUAUUUUAAUGUUCAUUUAUUUAGUCCUUUGCUUUCUGAGUUUGUAGAGAAUGGAGAGGAAAGGAAAAAUUACAUCCAUAAAAUUCUAAUUUUUUAUUAGAUUUUCCAUUUCAGACGAGUGUGUCCCCACCAAUUGAAUGUUACUUCGAAUCUCUGCUGCUAAAAUCUGUAUACCAUUAUUACAUUGGGGAGAGCACAUACGAAUCUGUCGUGGACAACUUCCCAUUGGUGGUGCUAACGAUGCAGCCGGCCACCUUUCAAACUUUCCUUGUCACCAAGAAGUUCCUAAAUUUGGAAUACCAGCACUGCAAGGGUUUUCAGAGCAUCUCCUUCCUCAAAGGUUUGUAUACUUAAUUGCCUUAAUCUAUAAAAAGGGAUAAAAGAUGAAGUGAUUAGAGAUAUCUCCUGUAUUAAUAAGUAAUAACAGAUUACUUAUAAGCCACAAGAGGAACAGUGAAAACUUGUUGUUUUUCAUCGAAAAAGAGCGAAAAAAGCAGAAUAUACCAUGCUUGUAAAUUCAAUCCUAGGUAUGUCAAUGGGAAAAUCCUCUCUCCUUUUUUUUCUUUGAACAAUUAAUUAAAACUUGUAUGAUCACCAAGUGUUGAUUUACUUGUACAUACAGAAGUCUGAACAUGAUUAGGAAACAGCAAGGAUGAAUUCAGCCUCCAGUUCUAAUCUAUUGGCCAUAAAAUCAAUGCAAUGCAGAGGUGAGCUUUUAUAUAUUGGACUAUAUUAAGAUUAUAUGCCUCACCAAUAGAAACAAUCCCUUCUUCUAAAUGAUAUAUGCAUGCAUAGUUCUAUUAUUGUAUUGAAUUUCCUCUAGCAGUCACAUAAUAUUGUUUCCACACCACUGGAUAUUACUUAUUAGCCACAGAAGGGAAAAACGGCAAGAAUCAGAGAAACUACCAUACUUGUAGAUAUAUGGUAUGUCAAUUGGAAAAUCCUCCUGUUCUUUUUACACUUUGAUAAUAAUUAAUUAAAGUUUUUAUGCUAACCAAGUUUUAGUCUAGUGUGUACAUGCAGAAAUCUGAGCAUCCAUAGGAAGCAACAACAAUGAAAUUUAACCUCCAGUUGUAAUCUAUUGACUGUAUAAUCAAUUCAAAGCAGAGGUGAGCAUUUUAUUAGACUACCUUAAGAUAAUAUCCCUCACCAAUGGACAGCCCUUAUGAUAAAUAACCUUUUGCAUAUCUAUUAGUUACUCAUCUUCAUUCUCAAUAGUGUGACCCUCAUUCACAAUNGGCUUACGAAACUGAUUAAAAAGUUCAAGGAUGAAAGGUGAGUUGAUUUUCCUCUGCUUUUAUAUGUCAUGUACAUUCCCAUUAAAAGAAAUGUCAUGUACAUUAAAGAAUGGAAAAGUGAUUGUUAGAGUACAUAAGCAGUUUCAUGGACAAAAUUGGGUUUUAAUUUGGUAAAUUACAUAUAUACUUGCCUUGUGAAAUUGUUAGUUGUUUAUACAGAAGCAUAUUUGUUUUGAUUUCAAGAGAUUUCCAUUUUGUUAAAGAAAAUCCAAGUCUCUCUUUCCUUUUCUAUGUUAUCAACUUUCUUUAUACCAUGCCAAUUAUGCUUCCCUUGAGUAUGUUGAACAGUGAACUAAUUUCUUUUCUUUUAGUAUUAUAAUGUUCUUGUAUUUAGUUUUUUGCUUUCUGAGUUCGUAGAGACAAUGUAGAGGAAGCAAAUAAAUUUCAUCCAUAAAAUUCUAAUGUUGUAUUGGAUUUUCCAUCUUAGAGGAGUGUGUCCCCACCAACUGAAUGUUACUUUGGAUCUCUGCUGCUAAAAUCUGUAUACCAUUAUUACAUUGGGGAGAGCACAUACGAAUCUGUCGUGGACAACUUCCCAUUGGUGGUGCUAACGAUGCAGCCGGCCACCUUUCAAACUUUCCUUGUCACCAAGAAGUUCCUAAAUUUGGAAUACCAGCACUGCAAGGGUUUUCAGAGCAUCUCCUUCCUCAAAGGUUUGUAUACUUAAUUGCCUUAAUCUAUAAAAAGGGAUAAAAGAUGAAGUGAUUAGAGAUAUCUCCUGUAUUAAUAAGUAAUAACAGAUUACUUAUAAGCCACAAGAGGAACAGUGAAAACUUGUUGUUUUUCAUCGAAAAAGAGCGAAAAAAGCAGAAUAUACCAUGCUUGUAAAUUCAAUCCUAGGUAUGUCAAUGGGAAAAUCCUCUCUCCUUUUUUUUCUUUGAACAAUUAAUUAAAACUUGUAUGAUCACCAAGUGUUGAUUUACUUGUACAUACAGAAGUCUGAACAUGAUUAGGAAACAGCAAGGAUGAAUUCAGCCUCCAGUUCUAAUCUAUUGGCCAUAAAAUCAAUGCAAUGCAGAGGUGAGCUUUUAUAUAUUGGACUAUAUUAAGAUUAUAUGCCUCACCAAUAGAAACAAUCCCUUCUUCUAAAUGAUAUAUGCAUGCAUAGUUCUAUUAUUGUAUUGAAUUUCCUCUAGCAGUCACAUAAUAUUGUUUCCACACCACUGGAUAUUACUUAUUAGCCACAGAAGGGAAAAACGGCAAGAAUCAGAGAAACUACCAUACUUGUAGAUAUAUGGUAUGUCAAUUGGAAAAUCCUCCUGUUCUUUUUACACUUUGAUAAUAAUUAAUUAAAGUUUUUAUGCUAACCAAGUUUUAGUCUAGUUGUACAUGCAGAAAUCUGAGCAUCCAUAGGAAGCAACAACAAUGAAAUUUAACCUCCAGUUGUAAUCUAUUGACUGUAUAAUCAAUUCAAAGCAGAGGUGAGAUUUUAUUAGACUACCUUAAGAUAAUAUCCCUCACCAAUGGACAGCCCUUAUGAUAAAUAACCUUUUGCAUAUCUAUUAGUUACUCAUCUUCAUUCUCAAUAGUGUGACCCUCAUUCACAAUAGGUUUAAGUAGAUGAACCCUGAUUGAAAGUACAUUGCAGUUCUCAAGUAAUGCGUAGAAUUAUUUUUUCACACCAGAACUGUUGUACAACUUGGCACACAGAGAUGCAAAGAGCUUAUGUAACAGCUUUCAUGGCUCUUUAUGCCAAGCUUUUUUUGCUUCUAAUAUUACAUAUUACCAUGCCCUGCAUGUUGCUUCUUCAGCCUUCAACACUAAUCUCUCUAUGUCAAUCCCAGUGAGUCUUCAAUCCCUCCAAAUGACCCAAAAAGUAUCACUAGAGGCAAAAAGUGUCACUAGCGGCAGCACCAAUGCUAACAUACAUCAUUGCAACAUGUCAUCACCUAAAGAGCAAUCAAUGUCAUUGACAGUCAAGAUUUUCUUUUCUAACACUAUGAAUCAGUUGGGUAAGAAUAACUUAUUAAAAAAUUUGCUCUUCAUUUAUCAUUUCUCUUUGCAAAGAAACUUCUUCAAAUUCAUCAGUAGUAUCAUCACUAAUAGAUUCACACUAAUCCCUUAACAAAUUUUCAUAGAUAGACUUUGUAAUGUGCCAUAAACUAGUUGAGCUUCAGUUUUCUUUUUCUUUUUCAUGAUUAUGCUAUAUAAAGUUUGUAUACUAUGGUAUUGGACUUCAGAAGGAUUAAUUUUCUUGCGCUUUUGAAUUGAGAUUAUGAGAUGUAUAAUAGAUUCAAGCUAAAUGUUAAUCUCUUUUUCCUACUCUUCGUCCUUUCUCUUUUAUCUUCUUCUUUGGCAAAUAAAGAGAUCCAACAAAUUUCAAUACAGGAAAUAAACUGAAUUUUUAUGGCUAUCAUCUGAUGGAUGUUAAGCCAUAAUGCAUGAGCAGGCCUUAAAUCUUCUUGUUUCGCUGAUAGCGAUCUAACUUCUCUGUCACUUGGCUGUGGCAAUGCUUAAAACUUCUGCAGAUCAAAACACCUUUUUCCUUUUAUUGGAUAUGUAUAGUGCAUGCCUUCAUUUUGUAUAAUCAGUAAUGUUCUUUGGCUUUUCAGAAGGUUCUUGUCUGUGUCAUCCCUGUGCCAAAAAGGAGCGUUACAAUGGUAGACGGGAGUUUUGAUGCAAGAUGUUCUAAAAAUGUUUUACCUCUGUUGGUGCCUCAUCCUUAGUCCCACGUAAGUCUCAUGAAUGGUUGGGAAUAGCUAAGUUAUUUUAUUGUUUUUUGACUAGAAUGUCAACAUGAUGUCAUGGUCUUACCCCUGAGGCCACAUUGUUUGACCAGGUGCCACAACCAAAGAAGCUGAAUGUCAAGUUUCCUACUAGUGUUAGUGUCAAUUUUUUAUAUUAAUAGUUAUUCUGUUUUUUCUUCUUGGUAUUUUAUGUUCCUUCAUUAAUAUUGGGAAUUUGGACCUAUGCAUUCUUUCAACCUGAUAUUUUAUUGUAAAAGAAAUGCCAUGAGCAUGGAUAACGGAUGUGGGCAUGAUAACUUGUCAAGUCACCAUACAAAAUUCAUGAAAGCAUAGUGAUUUGCGACCAGGCUGCCAUUGUUGGGAUUUUUGUUAUUGUGGAUUAUGGUGAUUAUUAAAGUCAUAACUGUGGCAAUUUUUUUCUAACAGGCUACUCGUUAUCCAUCACUUUAUGAAGCAAUCGAUGGGUUGUGCAACAGCUACUGAGCCAAGAUUAAAGCAGAAUGGAUUGUUGUGACAAAUUAUUGAUCUGGCACUACCAUGGAGUUUUCUACAGCACUAAUUCAUGGGAAAUAAAAAGCUGAUGAAGUCUUUAGGCCACUUGUACCUACUUUCACUGCAUUAUUUUUCAUAUACAUUCUUUUAGGGGAAAUGAGAAUGGGGGUGAGAGUGGGGAUGCUAAUUGGUAUAUCAAUAAAGUUUAUCACUGUUUGCUAAAGGAUACUUAUUUGUAUUCAGGUGAUGUGUCCUAACCAGGUAAUGGUUAUGCAAUCAGGGAGCUAAUCUCUACGAUCCAAACACAGAAAUUCAAUUAUAGCCAACUGGUGAGAUUUUUGCUUUGCUUUAUGAUUUUUACUUCAUCGUUUCAUAUAAUAGUUCACACAUAUCUGUCUUAUUUCUAAAGCAUAUCUCCAAUUAUAUUUACUUGCAUCUAGUUGAUGUCAGCAGAAUUUUAGAACUCAUCUGAGUUUCAAAAAUGUAUUAGUUCUAACUGUGUCUGACCAUAUACAAUAAAUAAUGAGAUAGCAUAAUGGGGAAUUCUUGGAAAAGUGAAGUAUACUUUAGAUAUACUUAUUAUUAUUGUCAUCGAAUGUCUGAAAAUAUUUGAUUUUUUUGCUUUUUGUUUAUAGCUCCUGAGAAAGGGAAAUGAGUGCCAAUAGUAAAAUCACCACAUAUUUGCAGAACCUGAGGUCUCCCAAUUGGGAAGGUGGGCAACACCUCACUUCAGUUCCCUUUCUAUAUAUAACUGUUAAUUAAAUUUUAAUUUUAAUACUUGAAAAUGCAGCAUGAUAAGAAGUUAUUGACCUUUCUUGGGAAGUAGAUUGAAAAUGUAGGGAUCAUUUGUAUGUUUUUUGCUGCUACUUUCCCUUUUUUUCUUAUGUUACUCAGGUCUCUCAUAUUUUCCUAUGUAAUGUAAUUGCAUAAGUUCAGGAAGAGUCAUGUCUAAAAUGUAACCACAAGAAUAUUUUAGUGAUGGCAGGUUCAGAUACUCAGGCAUGCCUCUUUCACCUAAGCACUGCUUGGGACCCUUGUGUCAAGAGGUUGAGGAGGAUUGCAAUUAUGUUCUAUAUUUAUGUCAAUUUUCUUGCAGUCCUGGUGCAAGUUACUUUCUCCGAUGAUGCUAUUUUGGUCUCAUCCCCUUUGCAUCAGAUUCCUGUUGCAAUGCGUUUGAGCCUUUUCUGGAUUACUCUGGUGGUUUACUUCCUAUUCUGCUGCUUCUCCAUGGCUAGUAAGAUAUGAGGCUGGCUUUAAUGAGAAACGGAGGUGGGUGGACGAGAUUAUUUUUCGUUGUAAGCUUUGUUCUCUGCAUUGGCGUAGACCUUUGGCUGAUGGCAUCUUGUUCUCGGACUAGGAUUCUGUGGCUUGCUCCCCUUCCUUCCAGUAACAUCUCCGUGGACCUGCUGGCUGCGGUUGAGUGUUAAGAGAUUCCUCUGGCUCUAUUCUAGCUUUGUUUUCUGGCCAAAUUGGUGUGCUAGACCAAUGUUGUUGAAAUAUAAUACUAUAUUUGCUUUGGAAAUUUUCUCUAGGACAUAUUGGAAAGAGAAAAAGGUGCUGGUGGUUGAAUGAGAUUCGACGGUAGUUGUGCCUUGGGUGAAAAAGUUUGAGGAUUGCCCAUGGAGUGUGUGUGUUACCUUCAAUUAGAUUGAUCCACUUAUUGCUGACAUUGGUGAAGUCUCCUUUGGUAAUAUCUGUUGGGAAGUUAACGGCCUUGCUGACUCUUUAGUGUGUAGAACUGGCAUGUUCAUGGCUUGGUGGUUCAGCAGGCUAUUAGUUUAUCUCCACCCUUUGGGCGCCAUUCUACCAGGCCUGUUAUUAGAGGUUUUAUGCUGUGUAUAUUUUUACGCUUUUGGGUGGUAGUGUAGUCACAGGGAGAUUGCUUGUUAUCUGUACAUGAACCCAAUAUAUAAGAACCAACUCAAGCCGCCACAAGAAUACUCAAGCAGUACAUCACAAGAGUCCAUAACUUUACCAGUAAGUUUUUAUAUUUUACACAUUGAUUGCAUGCUUCAUUCGUUAAGAACGAAAGAAACCAAAUGCUAACACAAGAAAGCACCUGGAGAAGCUUGUGUUUGGGAUUAGCUGAUGGAUGCAAACUAAAGUUAACAGAAAUAAUUUAGAAACUUUCUUCUUUCCCUUUGUAGAAGCAUACAUUGGGAGAUGAAAUUGAAGUUAUACAAGAAUAAAGCUAAUUAAGGGCCAAAGACAACCUUUCCACUCUGCAGCCUCCUUCCCAACCCAACAACAAAUAGCAAAACUUGCAUGAUGAACUCAUCUUACAUAAUGCCAUUUCUGUCUGCCAUAAGAUUAAGGCCUAGAAUUUUCAAUUUUUUUUUUUUUACUCAGCAAGAAUUUUCACUAUUGAAAAUUUAACGUGUGAAUAAAUUUAAAAAUAUUGGUAAAAUUAUAUUUUUUAAAUAUGAAUAAUAAUUAUGAAAAAAAAAUCUAUUAAUUAUUCACUUGACUUUACAAAAAAUAAAUACCAAUAAACUCGUUGUUCAUUACUUCUAUACCAUAUGUGAAUAGUCAUCAAAUAGUUGAAAUCAAAAUAAAGUAGCAUUAUUCUUUAAAAUUUUUCUCCAUCUCUCUCAUUUUUAUCUAUCUCUAUUUAACUUUUAUGUAUUUAUAUUAAAUUUUUUAUGUUUAUACAAAAUUGAGGUUCCAUGGUUUUUAAUAUAAAAAGUUAAAAAAAUCAUGAAAAAUUAUUUUGAAUAUAAAAAAGUAAUAGUAUUAGCUGUUAAAAAAAAGAAUAUAAUAUUAAAAUAUUAAAAAAAUAUAAUAUGAAUACCCUUUAUAAUAAUUUUAAUCAAAAUUAAAAUUUAUAUAAUUUAUUUUACCAAACAGUUUUAACUUAAUUUUAAAAUAUAUUAUUUUCAUAAAAACUUCCUAAUAACUUUUAAGUUAAAAAAAAAAAACCUAAACCAAACAUGCUCUUCGUAAGUUUCUACUUUGUUAAUGGCUCUAAUAUUUUUCCCUCUUUUUUAACUAUGUAUUUCGUAGUUUCAGGGUGGAUUUGAUGGUGUCAGGCAUCAUCUUCCUUAGGGAAGCUAGUGAACUUGCUCUAGAAGCCGGCAAAGCCAAACAUACCUUAUGGACCAAUAUGUGCGUCUUCAACUUGUCUUGGAGCACAUGGCUUACUCAAGGUAAUUUCAACGUCACUUUCUUGGAGACAUUUUAUGGAGAUUAUAUUUAUCCUAGUGACUUGGUCAAUUUAGAAACUUAUCAAACAAAUCAUGAACUUAGUACUUGAAAAGCCAUAAUCUAGUGUUGUUACAUGAAGUAGAUUCUAGAGAGGUGAUUCAAUUUCUUCCAAUAUAUUUUGCAGACGGCAAUUGCUAUUUAGAUUUAACCGAGCACUUCUGGACUUGACAAUUUUGAACUUAUCUUCAAAGAAGUGAGGAAAGGGAAUAAAGUUGGUCUGUAAUUGUGGUACUCUGUAAAAUUCUAAUUUUGUAUUGACUUUUCAUUAGCAGUCAAAUAAUAUUGUUUCCACACCCACUGAAUAUUACUCAUUAGUUACAGGAGGAAUUAUGGAAAACUAGUUGAGAUCAUAGAAGGGAAAAAGGGCAAAAAUCAGAGAAACUACCAUGCUUGUAGAUAUAUGGUAUGUCUCCCUUUUCUUUUUGCACUUUGAUAACAAUUAAUUAAAGUUUUUAUGGCAACCAAGUUUUAGUCUACUUGUGCAGGCAGAAAUCUGAGCAAGAGUAUGAAGCAGCAAGGAUGAAAUUUAGCCUGGAGUUGUAAUCUAUUGACUCUAUAACCAAUUCAAAGCAGAGGUGAGCUUUUAUUAGGCUACCUUAUGCCUCACCAAUGGAAAAUCCCUUACUGUUGUAUAAGUUGGCAUACAGAGAUGCAAAGAGCUCAUGUAACAGCUUCCUUGGCUCUUUAUGUCCUGCUUUUUCUGCUGCUAAUAUUACACAUUUACCAUACCCUGCGUUUGGGUUCNNNNNNNNNNNNNNNNNNNNNNNNNNNNNNNNNNNNNNNNNNNNNNNNNNNNNNNNNNNNNNNNNNNNNNNNNNNNNNNNNNNNNNNNNNNNNNNNNNNNNNNNNNNNNNNAAAAAAAAAAACCUAAACCAAACAUGCUCUUCGUAAGUUUCUACUUUGUUAAUGGCUCUAAUAUUUUUCCCUCUUUUUUAACUAUGUAUUUCGUAGUUUCAGGGUGGAUUUGAUGGUGUCAGGCAUCAUCUUCCUUAGGGAAGCUAGUGAACUUGCUCUAGAAGCCGGCAAAGCCAAACAUACCUUAUGGACCAAUAUGUGCGUCUUCAACUUGUCUUGGAGCACAUGGCUUACUCAAGGUAAUUUCAACGUCACUUUCUUGGAGACAUUUUAUGGAGAUUAUAUUUAUCCUAGUGACUUGGUCAAUUUAGAAACUUAUCAAACAAAUCAUGAACUUAGUACUUGAAAAGCCAUAAUCUAGUGUUGUUACAUGAAGUAGAUUCUAGAGAGGUGAUUCAAUUUCUUCCAAUAUAUUUUGCAGACGGCAAUUGCUAUUUAGAUUUAACCGAGCACUUCUGGACUUGACAAUUUUGAACUUAUCUUCAAAGAAGUGAGGAAAGGGAAUAAAGUUGGUCUGUAAUUGUGGUACUCUGUAAAAUUCUAAUUUUGUAUUGACUUUUCAUUAGCAGUCAAAUAAUAUUGUUUCCACACCCACUGAAUAUUACUCAUUAGUUACAGGAGGAAUUAUGGAAAACUAGUUGAGAUCAUAGAAGGGAAAAAGGGCAAAAAUCAGAGAAACUACCAUGCUUGUAGAUAUAUGGUAUGUCUCCCUUUUCUUUUUGCACUUUGAUAACAAUUAAUUAAAGUUUUUAUGGCAACCAAGUUUUAGUCUACUUGUGCAGGCAGAAAUCUGAGCAAGAGUAUGAAGCAGCAAGGAUGAAAUUUAGCCUGGAGUUGUAAUCUAUUGACUCUAUAACCAAUUCAAAGCAGAGGUGAGCUUUUAUUAGGCUACCUUAUGCCUCACCAAUGGAAAAUCCCUUACUGUUGUAUAAGUUGGCAUACAGAGAUGCAAAGAGCUCAUGUAACAGCUUCCUUGGCUCUUUAUGUCCUGCUUUUUCUGCUGCUAAUAUUACACAUUUACCAUACCCUGCGUUUGGGUUCAUCAGGCUUCAGCACUAAUCUGUCGAUGUCAAUCCCAGUGAAUCUUAAAUGCCUCCAAAUGAGGCAAAAAGUGUCAAUAGUGGCAGUAUCAAUGCUAGCAUAUAUAAAAAAAUAUAAAUAGGGUCACAAACUCCGACAUUUUGAACCCCUUGUUGCUCCAGUUUGUGUGAAUUGUUUGACCUAGGUGCCACAACCAAAGGAGCUGAAUAACAAGUUUCCUAGUUUUAGUGUCAAAUUUUUUAUGUUAAUAGUUACUCUGUUUUUCUUCUUGGCAUUUUAUAUUUAUUCACUACGAUUGGGAAUUUCUUAUAUGUGUUAUGUCUUUUCUUUAACAGAAACAGGGGAAACAGAAUAAAAAGGAAAGAAAGAUAAAUAAAAUUUAAAAUAAAAUGUAUUUAUUUGUUUUCAUAAACUUUUGAAAUGAUAGUGAACUAUGCGGUACUUAUAGGACUUUUCUUGCUGCCAAGCAGUGACAUACAAAAGCUAAACAUUUAAAAUGUUUCAUUUGACCUAGUAACUAAAAUAUUGCCACUACCUACAUCUUGGGAGCUUAGUGACUGUUUAGCUUGAUUUUUUUUUAACUUAUUUACUUAUUAAAAAUAGAAGUCAAUUCAAAUAGGAUUUUUGGCAAGAAAUUUUUUUAAAAAAACAAAAUUUAAAAAAAACCUUAAAGAAAAAAUUUGAAUAUGAACUUUCACUUCUCUUCUUUUCAAAAUACAUCAGCUUUUCAAAAAAUACUCAUCUCUCUCUCAAUCAAUCUCCCUCUACUCUCCCUCCUUCUACAAAUCACUUUUUUCUAACAUAAAUGACAAUCUCCCUCUCUCUCUACAAAGACUACUAGAAAAAAAAAAAAAAUCUAGCAACAGAAUAACAAAAUUUAAAGUUUUUUUGUUUUUACAAAAAUUAAAAAGGAAAAAAAAUCUAAAAUUUAAAGCUGCAUUUAGUAACUAUUUAAAGAUUUUUUUUUUUUCACAAAAAAUGAUUUUAAUAUCAAAUACAUCAUUUUCUCUUUUUUUUUUUGUUGAGGAAUUGAAGCAUCAUGGUCUGAUUAUUUGUUGGAUUAAUAAAAAUCUAAUACUAUUACUAGUACACAAGUUUGAGCAUUAUUUCGUUUUUUUAUGGAUUUUUUUAUUUUACCAUCUAAAAUCAUAUAUAAACUCAAAACAAACUUAUUCUGCUUUAAUUUUUUAAAUGUUUGAAAAUGAUAUGAAUACGCUUUAUGAUAAUUUUAAUCAAAAUUAAAAUUUAUAUUAUUUAUUUUACUAAACAUCUUACCAAACAACUUUAAUUUAAUUUUAAAAUAUAUUAUUUUUCAUAAAACCUUUGUAAUAGUUUUAGAUUAAAAAAAAGCUAAGCUAAACAGUUUCUUUGUAUGUUUUAACUUUGUUAAUGGCUCUAAUAUUUUUUCCCUUCUUUUUAACUAUGUAUUUCGUAGUUUCAGGUGGAUUUGAUGGUGUCAGGCAUCAUCUUCCUUAGGGAAGCUAGUGAAUUUGCACUAAAAGCCGGUAAACCCAAAACAUACCUCAUGGAGCAAUACGUGCAUCUUCAGCUUGUCCUGGAGCCCACGGCUUACUCAAGGUAAUGUCAACAUCACUUUCUUGGAGACAUUUUAUCUUGGUGACUUUGUAAAUUUGAAAACUUAUCAAACAAAUUAUGAACUUAGUACUUGAAAAGCCAUAAUCUAGUGUUGUUACAUGAAGCAGUUUCUAGAGAGGUGAUUCAAUUUCUUCCAAUAUAUGUUGCAUUAGGGAAUUGCUAUUUAGAUUUAACCGUGCACUUCUGGACUUGACAAUUUUGAACUUAUCUUGAGCAAAUUUAAGAUUGCUUAUCUUGAAAGAAGUGAGGAAAGGGAAUAAAGUUGGUCAGUAAUUAUGGUACUCUGUAAAAUUCUAAUUUUGUAUUGAAUUUUCACUAGCAGUCAGAUAAGAUUGUUUCCACACCCACUGAAUAUUACCCAUUAGUCACAGGAGGAAUUGUGGAAAACUAGUGGAUAUCAUAGAAGGGAAAAAGGGCAAAAAUCAGAGAAACUACCAUGCUUGUAGAUAUAUGGUAUGUCAAUUGGAAAAUCCUCCCUUUUCUUUUUGCACUUUGAUAAUAAUUAAUUAAAGUUUUUAUGGUAACCAAGUUUUAGUCUAGUUGUACAUGCAGAAAUCUGAGUCCGGUUGUAAUCUAUUGAGACCAAUUCAAAGCAGAGGUGAGCUUUUAUUAGGCUACCUUAUGCCUCACCAGUGAAAAAUCCCUUACUGUUGUACAAGUUGGCAUACAGAGAUGCAAAGAGCUCAUGUAACAGCUUCCUUGGCUCUUUAUGUCCUGCUUUUUCUGCUGCUAAUAUUACACAUUUACCAUACCCUGCAUUUUGGUUCUUCAGGCUUCAGCACUAAUCUCUCUAUGCCAAUCCCAGUGAAUCUUGAAUGCCUCCAAAUGAGGCAAAAAGUGUCAAUAGUGGCAGCAUCAUGCUAACAUAUAUCAUUGCACCAUGUCACCAGCGGAAGAUCGAUCAAUGUCAUUGAUAGUCAAGAUUUUACUUUUCUAACACUACAAAUCAGUUGAGUAAGAAACAACUGACUAGAAAAUUUGCUCCAUUUAGCAUUGCUCUCUGCAAAGAACUUGUUUGAAUUCAUCAAUAGUAUCACGACUAAUAGAUUCACACCCAUCCCCUAAUAAAUUUCGUAGAUAGACUUUGUAAUGUGUCAUAAACUAGUUGAGCUUUCAGUUUUCUUCUUUCUUUUCAUGAUUAUGCUAUAUAAAGUUUGCAUCCUAUGGUAUUGGAAAUUUGGAAGGGUUAAUUUUCUUGUGCAUUUUGAGUUGAGAUUAGAGAUAUAUAAUGGAUUCAAGCUAAAUGUUAAUCUCUUUUUCCUACUCUUCCUCCUAUCUCCAUUAUCUUCUUAUUUGGCAAAUAAAGAGAUCUAACAAAGUUCAAUACAAGAAAUAAACUGAAAAUUUUGAUGGCUAUCCUCUGAUGGAUGUUAAGCCAUAAGCUACCCCGCAUUGCAGCAUGAGCGGGCCUUAAAUCUUCUUUUCUAGCUAAUAGCAAUCUAACUUCUCUUUCACUUGACUGUGGCCAAGCUCAGAACUUCUGCAAAUGAAAACACCUUUUUCCUUUAUUAGAUAUGCUUAUAAAUGUCAACAUGAUGUCAUAGCCUUGUCCUUUAUUAGAUAUUCACUACGAUUUGGAAUUUCUUAUGUGUGUUAUGUCUUUUUUUUAACACUGCUUCCGCUUCCAAAGUGUUAAAUGGUAAGGCAAACUUCUUCAAACAGUUCGUGCAUUUAGUUUCAUAGAACUGCUUUUUUCUUUUAAUUCCUUCUGUGCUUCGAGGUUUUUUUGGCUGUUUUUGAAUGGGACUGAGCUGAUGGAGGCUUUUAUAAUAAUAAACCUAUUGAGGAGAUGAAAGAUAAUGUGACAGGGGAUUCUGUCAACAAGAAGCUUUGCAUGCUUGCCACAGUGUCAAUAUUGUUGCUGAUGCUCUUAUCUCUGAUUUCAAUGCCAUGGUUGUCAAUCUCAUUGCACCCCCUCUAGGCUGUAAGUGCCUCUCUCUGUUUGAAUGAUGCUUGUGUUUCUGAUUCCAUUUUUUUGUUGUUUGAGCUUGAGAUUUCCUUUUGCAAGACAGUUCCCAAAUUUUGUGUUUGAAUUUGGAAUUUGGACCUCUGGAUUCUUAGAAAAUAUUUUAUAAAACAGUGUCUAACCGUAUACAAUGAAUAAUGAGAUAGCUUAAUAGGGGAUUCUUAGAAAAGUAAAGUUUUAGAAAUAUUUAUUAUUAUUGUCAGAAAGGGCAGGAAAGCGGCACAGAAUCAGAGAAUAGGAAUAUUCUUAUUUCACAAAAGUAGGGAAAAGCCUUUACAAGGUUUAUAUACAAAGAUUCAGUAUAAAGCUAAAAAGGAAAAACAAGUCAUUAAAGCAUAACUAACUAAUCAGUACAUUAACUAAUUUUUGAAAUAAAACGGUGCAGCUUUGAUUUCUUCUCCUUUUAUUGAAACGUUGCCUACAGGUCUUCUCUUCUUCCUUUCUACCCCAUUUUUAUUGAAACGGUGCGUUGGGGUCUUCUCCUUGUGACUGUCUUCUUUUCAACCCGAUCACCUCUGCUCAGGUCAGUCACUUAUUCAGCUUUUCAAUUCUUCAAGUGUAAGUUCAAUAAUUAUUGCCAUCAAAUAUCUGAAAGAGAUUUGAUUUUUACUUCUUUUUUAUAGCUCCUGAGAAAGGGAAAUGAGUGCGAAAAGUAAAAUCACCUCGAGAUAUUUGCAGAACUCGAGGUCUUUCAAUUGAGAAGGUAGGCAGCACCUCACUUCAGUUCCCUUUCUAUAUGUACCUGUUAAUUAAAUUUUAAUUUUAAUUUCAAUAUAUAACAUUUCUUGGGAUGUAGAUUGAAUUCUGCUUUGGGUUUGUAGGGAUCAUUUGCGUGUUCUUUGCUGCCACUGCAACCACUGCUGCUGCUACUUUUGCUUUUUUUCAUAGGUUACUCAGGUCUCUCUUAUUUUCCUAUGUAAUGUAAAUAUACGUAAUUGAUUUCUUUACAUCACAAGUCCUAGAAGAGUCUGGUCUAAAAUGUAACCACAACACUGUUUUGAUGAUGGCUGGCAGGUUCAUUUACCCCCAGAGAUAGGGCGUGCCUCUUUCAGCUGAACACUGUUAAGGACCCUAGUGUCAAGAGAUUGAGGAGGAUGGCAAUCAUGUUCUAUAUUUAUGUCAAAUGUUCUUGCAGUUCCGGUGCAAGUUACUUCCUCCCAUGAUGCUAUUUUGGUCUCAUCCCUUUUGCAUCAAAUUCCUCUUGCAAUGCUUGUGAGACUUUUCUGGAUUGCUCUGGUGGUUUGCUGUCCAUAUAUUCUGCUGCCUCUCCAUGGCUAGUAAGAUAUGAGUCUGGCUUUAAUGAGAAAAAGUGGUGGGCUGAUGAGAUUAUUUUUCUUUGUAAGCUUUGUUCUCUGCAUUGGGUUAGAGCUUGGGCUGAUGGCAUCUUGUUUUUGGACUAAGAUUCUGUGGCUUUAAGGAGACUUGGUGAAGUCUUUGAAGCAUGUUGCCCUGUCAAAUUUAUCACCUGUUGAUUGUCAGUGGCAUCCAGAAGAAGUGAAUGGUUAUCUAUCACCUCUGCAAGCAGCUGGAUUUCCAGUUCUCUUUCUCCCAUUUGUAUUUUUUCCUUCCCCUAAAAAGUUGCCAAGAUAGGCCUUGGGUUUCUUCCUAUGUAUUUCAACUGUUUGUUCAUUCAUAGCUCCCUGUGUAUCACAACUUGUCCUGAAAAUUUUAAUUUAGUAUUUCAAUGAAUGAUGUGGCUUACUCAUAAAGUCAAAUUCAAACUUCCUUAAUAUAAAUUCGGCAUCUACCAGUCAACUAUCUUAUAACAUUCUAGUGUUUGGUCACUAUUAUAGUUCGACGAGACUAUAAAAAAAAUCUUAGUAAGUUCUUAUUACGAUUAAAUUCAAGUUUAUUGAAUGUUUCUAAUCAAAAUUUUUAUAAAUGAUUGUAAUUGAAUGUCUCAUGAAUCAAGGUAAAAUUAAUUACUAAGUAAUUUUAAUUCAAUUUUUUGAUAGUUUUAAUAGCUAAGCUAUACCUUGCACUUUUCAUUAACACUUGCCAACACAUUUAUUAUAAUUCUAUUAAUUAGGUACUUGUUUAUUGCCAAAUAUUUCUUCUAUAAGGUUUGCUUGUGCACUCCAUUGAUAUUUUUUUUUUGGAAUUUAAAAUAUAUUCUUUUACAUUGUCUAACAAUUCAACUGUCAUAUUUUUUUACAAAAAUAAACACCAAUAAAGUAGUUGUUCAUUAUUUCUAUACCAUUUGUAAUACUCGUCAAAUAGUUGAAAUCAAAUAAAGUCAUAUUAUUCUUUAAAAUUUUUCUUCAUUUGUCUCAUUUUUAUUUAUCUCCAUUUAACUUUCACAAAAUAUAAAAAAAAAUUAUUUUGAUGUAUUUAUAUUAAAUUUUUUAUUUUUUUACAUAAAUUGAGGUUUCAUGGUUUUUAAUAUACAAAAUACAAAAAGAUCAUGAAAAAUAAUUUUUGAAUAUAAAAGAAAUUAAAAUUAAUAAGGAAGUCAUUGAGCCUAAGAUACCUGUCUCAUCUAAGCAUUUCAUGCAUGAAUGCUUUUCAUUUUUUAAUGAAAAGUAGUAAUACAAUAUUUACAUUUCUCUACAACUAUUACAUAAAUAAGCCAAUAUUUUCAUUGGCAGAAAUAUUACAUUUGGAUAUUUUUCUACAUUCGAUGCAUUGGCAGUAUUUUUUUUUUAACGUUAUAAGUAAGUUUAAAGGGUUGACAUGUAUUCAUUUAGGUAUAUUUUAAAAGAAAAUAAUGAAUUGUUUAAUUCUUAAAUAAACAUAUAAAAAUUUUAAUCUCACUUGUGGAAUUAAAAGAAUUUACUAUCAAUAUACAAAAUAAUAAUCUAUUUUUUCAUAAAACUAAGCAAACUCAUCACUUUAAUUUUUUCAUUCUCUUUUUUUUUUUUGCUAUAUUUUUAUACUUGUAGGGUUACUCACAUUUUUCAAGUAAUUAAAUUUAUUUAUCAUAUGAAUAAUUUUUAAAAAAAUUUAUUAGAAAAUAAAAAUAACUAGGGUUUGGGGAAGUAAGGGGCAAACGGCACUGUUUAGGAGAGAUAACAACGUAAAAAAAUAUAAUAAGGUUUAAGUUAUCCUAUGGAUGAUACCCAGAAUGUAUCCAAAUUUGAGUUAGAUAUUAAAACUUUAUCCAAACUUGCUACAUAAUCAAAUAUAGGGUACUCAAACUUUAUGUUAUCAAGUCGGAUAUCCGUAGAUCUAUUGUAUAACAAUUUCUUUAGGAAACUAUUGAUUGCCUGUACUUAUACCAAAAGGAAUGAACAAGUUAUUUUACUAUAAAUAACAAUAGGACCACUAUAGCAAAAAAAGAGAAUUGCAAGUAAAUGAAAAAUUUUCUACACACUAACUUUAAAGUUUUUAGUUAACAAAUUAAAAAAUUGUCUUAUGAUUGAUUAGAGUAUGUUUAUUGAAAUCAAUAAAUUGUUAUAAUAAUUAAAUAAAUAUGCUAUAUAUAAAAUAAUAAUUUGGCCAAAGAAAAGAGGACAUACUAUUAAAUCAAAAUUUGAACCAACAUGAACCCACCACCACUAGCUUGUUUAGUGCCCAUUUCCUUUAUUUUCCAUGAAGAAGAAUUAAUCAGCCAAGUAACGAUAAAAAAAAGAAAGAUAUUUAAAGAAAUUUUGAUAAAACAGAAUAAAUUACAAAUAUAAUUUUGUUUUGUUGAAGUAUUUUGAAGCACAAAAUUGAGAAAGACCAAUAAUUAAAUAAGCUUUGAUUGAUUUAUUUGAUAAUAACGAAAUCUGUGAAUACCAAAAGGCUGAAAUUAAGUAAGGAAAUGCUUCAUUUUAAAGAGAGAGUAAGGAAAGAAGAAGCAAGUAAAACCAUGGAAAGAUGCAGUAAAAUUAAGAGAGCAAUGAAUGAAGGGAUUAAUGAAUACUUCGGCACGCACCUAAGGACAUGUGAAUUUGUUUAAUAAAUUUUAAAUUGUUUCCAAAGGGAGAGGAAUAGUUGUGAUCAAAGUAUUGGAACACGUGGCCGUACUGGUUCUUUAACUUGGUUUUGCCUUUAUUCAUGGCAGAAACAAACAGAAGUACUACAGUACCCUAAAUAGUCCAAUAACCAAAUUAUUACUACUCACUAGAAUUGAACCCCUACUUUGCGUUGCGGCAAAAUGAAAGAAUAUUUAUUUCGUUGGAUAGAAAACUUUUGAGUUAGAAUUGUUUGUCUUAAAUUAUGUGUUUGUAAAAAUAUCUAUACACAAAAAUUAUUGUAAAGGUAACCACAAAGUGAAUAAUUGUUACAUGGUUGUUCACAAUUUUAUGUAUUAAUUUUCAACUAACUCACAAAAAGUUAAUGCUUAUGAAAAAAAUUAAGAUAAAAUAUAAAUUGUUAUGAAUCAGAAUUAUAUUGUGUUGUUACUAUAAAAGCUAUUAAAGUAAUUUCGUAACUUAAGUAGUUUCUAUUAAAUUUAAUAGAGUAGUAGAGUAUACUGAUUUGAUCAAUAUAUUCCCAACAUUACUGUUAUAUAUUAACUUAAUUAAGAAUAAAGUAACCUAUUUUUCAUAAAAAAACCAACAAAUUCGAACAAAAUUGAAUAAAUAUCUAAAUAAGAUACAUACAAAAAAAUAAACUGAAAAAAAAUAACAAAUUUUUUGUGCUCAAAUACAAAGAUAAGAAACAAACAUAAGGAGGCAGAAAAGAAAUUAAUUAAAAAAUACCAAGCAACUCCAUAUCAGAUUCAAUUUUGUAGCUUUCAUGUGCUCUUAUGAAUAAAUUUUUUACAAACUAUUUAUAGAAAUAAUUACAUAGUUGUCAUAUUAAAGAGACUAAUAAGGAUAGCAGCACACCGAUAAAUAGUUUGUGAUUCUUUUAUGCUAGCUGCUUUGACCUGAGCAUGUGAAAGAAGAAAAAAAAUAUUAAUGGCAGAAAGAAGGAGAAACUAAAGAGAGGUUUGCACAUGAUAUUCAUUAAAUUAAGAUGUUGUAUAAAUAUUUUUUUACAAUCAAUAAUCCAUGGAUUAUAAUAUAAAACUUCAAUGAACGCAAAUAAAAGGUCAUAAAAUAACUAAAUGAUUAUGAAUGAGUAACAAAUAAGGAACCAAAACAAAUUGAAAAUUACAAUCAGAUAAGGCAAGCAAAAAUAAUAGAAAGGAAAGAAACAGAGAAAAAACAAUUGUUACAAAGACAAAAAAUCAAAACUUGAUGAUAAAUAAAAACAAUGAAAUCAGAAACAUGUGAUCAUAAAAAUAUUACCAUAGAUUGUGACAAUCCUUGUCUUCGGACGUGUAACUUGGUAGUUAAUAGAAACUUCUAAUUAAGAGGAGUGGGAUAAAGAUUAAAGAGAAAUAUUUUAAUCACCUUUACUUGGACUUCUUUUUGGGUGUUCUUACUUCGCACUAAACUAUUUCCUUUAAUGCUUCGCCAGUCUUUGCCCAUCACCAAGAAAUCAUUUGGAACAUCAAAUUAAAAAUGCUGAUAAAUGUAAAUGUCAACAAAAAAAAAUAAAAAAUGACUAAAACAAAUGUAAAUAGGUUUGUCACUUAGGCAAGCAGCAAAUAAAUAAUUUGACUGCGCAAAGAUGUAUAGAAACACAUAAGUUGAAGUUAAAAACCUUUGCCUGAAUUAAUUGUACAUCCUUCACCACAAACUCUGCAGCUUUGUUAUGAUCCUCUCUUUGAAGGACAGAAUAUACAUCGUUGACUAGAGCCUCCUCAAAGUUUAAGCCACAAAAGUUGUCAAAUCAAUAUCUCCAUAAGAAAGAUAGAUCUUCAAGGGAUUGAUCCAAAUGGAAUUACUUAUAAUAAGUAUAAAUAAAAUAAAUAAUUAACAUCUAUUUAAAUUGUUCAGUAAUUCAUAUUUAACGUUCUUACGUUCAUGAUCGCAUCAAUAAACAACCAAUGAAAAAUCAUAAGAAUUUAUUCUCAACAGAUUAAAGAUGAAAAAAAAAACAUCAAAUGGCUCAUUCAUCCACCACAACUAAGAGAUAUGGCUAUCACUAUAACACAAAAGCACAACUAUACAAAUAAAUAAUGGAAUGAAGGAAAAAUUAUUUUUUAAAAAUACCCUAUAUGAAAUGGGAGUAAUCAAAUUUCUUUUUAUAUAUUUAAUGGAGUUAAGAAACAACAAUGAAAGCCGAAAAGAAAAAAAAAGGGGACAAAACAAAACUGGGAAAAGAUAGAUAGUAGUCAAAAAUGAAAAGAAAACCCUUGAGAAGAAAAACGCAAAAUCAAAGUAGAGAAAGACACAAAACACAGAAAAUAAGAAAGCAAACUAGCCAAACUCAAAGGGAGAAAUCAGCAAAAACAGAGCAUACAAAUCAAAAAAUGAAGGACACAAACUCGAAAGAACAGAAAGUAUGGCCUUAGAGUAACCAAAAUAAAUAAAGACAAACUCCUCACCCAAAUUUGAAAAUCAAGUCAGACGUGAAACGAAAGCAUGAAAAGCAAGUUAAGCACGUCAUUCCAUUAAAAUCACACACGUGUUUUGUCUGAAAAAAUACGCAGUUCGAGACACCAAACACAUCACAACACCAACUUGGCUCCUCCAACCUUCACGUGGUAAAACUUGGGGACCUGUUGGAGCAUGAAAGCAUUUUACACAAUACCAAGGACUUGGAUGAAAAUGCGUUCAAUGGAUUGACGGGGGUAAAGAUUUUUUUUUUAAAUGUUGCUUUAAUUUAAUUAUGUGUUAAUUGACUCUUCUCUAAAUUGACUUACUCAUUAUGGAUUUAUAAAUUAAAAAUGUGAACAUUAUCUGAGUUGACACGUGGAUAAAUAAGGAAGCCCUUUUGGGGCUUCGUUUUACUUACGUUAUAGAUACUUGUGAAUGCCGUUGAUGCCUUGUCACUAUGAAGAAGGUAACACAUGUAUAGCUAGAUCUAAGAAUAGUACUAGCCUAUCUAUUCCCCGGUUGUUUAUCACGCAAAGGGCGAAGAAUCUUUCAAAGUUCGAUAAGUACUUUAUUGAAAGUACGAAUUUGCUUUUGAUGACUCCGUGCCAGCUUUUUCCUUGUCUUUUUCCCACACUGCCGCUGGCCUCCAACAAACUACUGGUCAUGGGGUCUUUAUUCCAAUGCCUUUACUCAAGUGUUAAGCUACCCCACACAAACUCUUUUAACUUUCACACAGCAAAAAACACCUCUUUUCCACAUACGUACUUCGAUCUCCAUUUUUGAUUUCUCUCUUUCUUUCCUGAGCAUAACUAUCAUGUCUUUUCUUGGGGAGGUUGCUCUCACAGCUUUCUUUGAUGGGUUGUUUGGCAAGCUAUCCUCUUCUGAUUUCCUCAACUUUGUAACUGAAAAGCAGGUCUUCCAGGAGAUCAACAAGUGGAAAAAGAUGCUGCGGGAUAUCCGUGCCGUGCUUGAUGAUGCAGAGGGGAAGCAGAUGAAGGAUCAGUAUGUGAAGAACUGGUUGGCCGAUCUUCAAGACUUGGCUUACGAUGUUGAUGACAUUUUGGACGAGUUUGCCACUGAAGCUUUGGGGCACAAGCUGACAUCCUUGGAGGAACCUCAAGGCAUAAAAAAUAAGGUACAAAAGAUCAUUCAUGCUUGUUUCUCUUCAAAAACUUUCAUGUUUAAUAAUAAGAUGAUGUCCAAGAUUAAAGAGAUCAGUGCUAGAAUGAAUGAUUUGGCCACACAAAGAACUCAAUUGGAAUUGCGAGGCAUUAAUGGGGGAGCAAGGUCCAACAGACUGAUACAAAGGCUUCAGCCUACUUCUUUGGUGGAUGAAACUCAGGUGUACGGUAGGCAAGAAGAAAAGGCAGCAUUACUUGAAUUGCUUCUGAGCAAUGGUGGUACUGACAAUGAAGCUUCUGUGAUUCCCAUCGUUGGCAUGGGAGGAAUUGGCAAGACAACUCUCGCACAACUUGUCUACAAUGAUACUAGGAUACAAAAUUCUUUCCAUGACAAGGCGUGGGUAUGCGUUUCUGAUGAUUUUGAUGCCGUUAUGAUAACGAAGACAAUUCUACAAUCAAUUGCUCCUGAUUCUUGUACCAAUAUUAAUGAUUUCAAUUUGCUUCAAGUCAAGUUGAAGGAGAAGCUGGCUGGGAAAAAGUUUUUGCUUGUCUUGGAUGAUAUCUGGAACGAGAAUUAUCUGGAGCUGACCAACCUACUCUCUCCAUUCAGAGUUGGAACCAAAAUUCUCAUUACAACACGGAGUCACAAUGUUUCUUCUAUUAUGGGCACUGUUAAAGCUUACCCGCUACAAAAGUUAUCACAGGAAAAUUGUCUAUCUGUAUUUACUCAACAUGCAUUAAGGGCAAAUGAUUUUAGUGGGCAUCCUGAAUUAAAAGAAGUUGGGGAAAUUAUAGUGAAAAAGUGUAAAGGCUUACCUUUGGCUGCUAAAGCCAUUGGUGGUUUACUACGCACUAGCCUGUACUAUGAGGCAUGGAAAGGUAUAUCAGAAAGCGAGAUAUGGGGCAUACCAGAAGAGGAAUGUGGCAUAAUUCCAGCUCUACGUUUGAGCUACCAUCAUCUUCCUUCACAUUUGAAGCGAUGCUUUGCAUAUUGCUCUAUACUCCAUAAAGAUUAUGAAUUCGGGGAGGAGGAAAUAAUCCUGUUAUGGAAAGCAGAAGGUUUUCUACAACCAGCAAGCCUUGGAACUCAACUCGAAGUUCUAGGUAGUCAAUAUUUUCGAGAUCUAGUCUCAAGGUCAUUUUUUCAAGCAUCUACUAGGAACAAAUCUCGAUUCAUAAUGCAUGAUCUUGUCAAUGAUCUAGCUCAAUCGGUUGCAGGGGAAAUAUGCUCCAAAUUGGAGGAUGAUAAACAGUUGAGAUUUUCGAAAGGUACUCGACAUUCAUCUUAUGUUCGUGGUCGUUAUGAUGGAAUGAAAAAGUUUGAAGCCUUAAAUCAAACAAAGCAUUUACGAACCUUUCUACAGUUUCCUGGAUCGUCAUGGGCACCUGAAGGUGAUUGUUAUUUAAGUAAGAAUGUCCUGGUUGAUUUACUGCCCAAACUUAGAUGCUUAAGAGUUCUUUCUUUGAAAGGGUAUCGCAUCAUUGAGUUACCAAACUUUUUUCAUAACUUAAUGCAUUUGCGCUACUUGGACUUUUCUCAUACUACAAUUAAAAGUUUGCCUGAUUCAAUACACAUCCUUUAUAAUUUAGAAACUUUACUAUUAUGUGGUUGUAGAUUGCUUGAAAAUCUACCUUCAAAUUUACAAAUUCUAGUCAACUUACGUGUUCUCGACAUCACUAAUACACCUUCAAUGAAAGGGAUGCCAUUUGGAGUUGGUAACUUAACCAAUCUUCGAAGACUAUCUGAUUUUGUUUUGGGCAAAGGUGAUGGACAUCAUAUACAAGAGAUGAAGAAUUUGUUAAAUCUGAAGGGUAAGCUUUGUAUCUCAGGGUUAGAGAACAUUGUUAAUGCUCAAGAUGCAUGGGAGGCUAAGUUAAUAUAUAAGUCAGGCCUUCGCACAUUAGAACUAAAGUGGAGUAGAGAAUUUGAUAGUAAUAGAAAUAAAGAAGUUGAAGAAGAGGUCUUGAAUUUGCUUGAACCUCAUAAAAAGCUUGAAGAGCUCUUCAUUCAGGAUUAUGGUGGUACAAAAUUUCCGAUUUGGAUGAAUUCUUCAUUACAAAAUUUGCCGUCUUUGGUUCUCAAGGGCUGUAAAAAUUGCGUAUCACUACCAUCAAUUGGAAAAUUACCAUUGUUGAAGAAUCUUUCUAUUGCUGGAAUGGAUGAGUUAAAAAAGGUUGGCAUUGAGUUCUAUGGGGAGAAUCACUCAAAUGCAUUUGCUUUGUUACAGAGUUUGAGCUUUGAGAAUAUGCCACGAUGGAAGGAAUGGGACUUAGUUGAUGAGCAAGUUGAGAAAUUCCCUAGCCUCAUCGAGCUUUCCAUCAAAAACUGCCCUCAAUUGUUGGGAAGGUUGCCUAACCAUCUUCGUUCCUUGGAGAAGCUUGAAAUUCGUGACUGUGCACAAAUGGUGGUUUCACUUUCAGACCUUCCAAAGCUGUCUCAAUUACAAAUAGAUAGGUGUGCAGAGUUGGUGCUUAAAGAUGAUGCAGACUUUUGCUCAAUAAAAAAAAUCCAUCUUUCAAACGUUGGAAAGUUUUCUACUCCAACAGAAAGGCUGGUAUCAACAUCAACAACAUUGGAGCAUUGUGAGAUUUCUGAUUGUGAGGGAUUGACAUAUUUAUCGCUAAAGAAGUUGGGACUGUUGGGAUCUGUCCGUAAAUUGGAAAUUUAUAAUUGUCCACACCUUCUGUUUUUAGAGCCAGAUGAGGUAGAGGAGGCAGAGGAGGAGCUGUUUCAAGUUGGGAAUCUUUGCAAUAUCGAAUCUUUGAUAAUAUGGCAAAUUGGUCUUAAUAUGGAAUCUUUGAGAAUAAGAAAGCAUUUUCUCCCAUUUCUUACAGAGAUGAAUAUUCAAAACUGCCCAAACAUAGUUUGUUUUGCAAAGAACAACUUUCCCCCACUUCUGAAAAAGUUAGAGAUUGUAAAUUGCGAGAAUUUGCGGUGUUUGGUGGAUGAAGGAGAAAAUAUAAGCAUCGGUAACAUAUCUUCUCUUGAGCUUUUGGAUAUUGAUGGCUGUCCAUCUCUAAUAUCAUUAUCAUUACCUGUUAGGCUUCGACAUCUUAUACUUAUGAGUUGCUCAAAGCUAGCUUCCUUAUCAGAAAGUGGCAAGUUACCCAUAGGGCUUAAACAGCUUGACCUUUCUUUCUGCCCAGAGCUCAAAUCCAUUGCAGAAGUAAUUGAUGAAAAUGCUUGUCUUGAAUCUAUUAGCUUCUUCAGUUGUGGUAUUAAAUCUUUACCGCAAGGAUUAGACAAGCUCAACCAUCUUCGGAGUAUUGAAAUAAUGAGAUGUUCAAAUCUAGUCUCGUUGGAAGGGGUUUUACCCACCACCAAUUUGACUGAGCUUUCUAUCUCCAACUGUGAAAAUUUGCCAGCCCUGCCCAAUUGCAUGCACGGCCUCACCUCUCUUCGAGAAUUACAGGUUGAGAAUGAUUCAGGUGAUCAGAUAUCCAUUCCAGAAGAGGGUAUCUCUACCAACCUAACAUCACUUUCCAUCUCAAUACCAAGAAAUUAUGAGUCUCUACUUGAAAGAGGAUUGCAUAGACUCCCCUCUCUUAAAACACUUUGUAUUUCUGGUGAAGGAUGUCCGAAUAUGGUGUUGUUUCCACCAGAGGAGAUAGGAAUGAUGCUGCCUCCCUCUCUCACCCAUUUGAGCAUUGAAAAUUUUGAAAAUUUGAAAUGCCUAUCCUCCAAAGGCUUUCAAAACCUCACCUCUUUUCAUCAUUUGUCCAUCUUCUCUUGCCCUAAGCUCACAUCUCUUCCUGAAAAAGACAUUCUUAACUCGCUUUUGCAGUUAUUCAUUUGUGCUUGUCCAUUGCUAAAGGAAGAGUGCACAAGGGACAAAGGACGAGAGUGGUCCAAAAUAGCCCACAUACCUCGUGUUCAAAUUUUUGAUUUCUUACCCUUUUUUUGACACCCAAAGGAGUUGAAUUGAAACUUGACUGUAAACUCUGAAAAAAAAAAAAAGAGUUGGCUGUGACAAUCACAGGUAUGAAACCAUUGAAACGUAUGGCAAUUUAGAAGCUUCUCAUUUUUAACUACAAAAUGAAGCUAAUUAUAAUAUUUUUUUUUCAUCAUUGAUUAUUUUCAGGCAAUUCAAAAGCUUUAGAAGGUAACAUGGUGAGAAACUGGGCUUCUCACUUUUUCAUCUAUAAUGGCAGAAUCAAUGUGUAAAGUUUAAUGGUUGGUUAGUAAACUCAUGCUCAUACAACUUCAGCAGUCUACCUGGCAUUUCAAAAGAUCAUUUCAUGGAAAGGGUGGACUCAACUCUGUUUUUCUUGGGCCUCGUAUGUUGAUUUCUUCCUUUUUCAUGCCUAUGAAAGUGCUGCAGAGGUUGAUGAAUGGAGCGGUCCGUUAAUUCUCUGCAACUUUUGGCUACAUUUUUAGUGUUUGAUAAUCAUUUGAUAUUCUAAUAAAAUACUAUUGAGUUUUCUUCAUUUCUAUUAUGAUGCAUUAGGUGCAUUUUUUACAAAUUCAAAGUCUGCCAAUUCUACUUUACUUGACUAUACCUGGAUUACAUCCUUCAUUUUAUUCUUUUAAUUUCGCAUCAUUCUUAUUUGGUCUUUGUGUGACAAUUUCUCAUACUUCAAUCUAUCUUACUUUUCUUAAUUUUUUGGAGAAACUGCUUUAUAAAGAAAAGAAAAGAAAAGAAAAGAGAGGAAAGGAAUAUAAGAUUGCAUAUAUGAAGGUUAGAUGCUCCAUUGAAUUCAUUAAGAAACUUUAAUCUUCUGUUAGAUUUCCAUUACUACUUUGGAUCUCCAAUAGACUAACAUAUUUUAGCCCUUCAUUGAUUGUACUUUUUAGUUUCAACAGUAUAUAAGAGAUGAGCAAUGUUGCUUAUUUUAUGUGCCUUGCUUGUUCUCAGGUAUUUACCGAUCUGCAAUUGCCUUAAUUCUGCAAUCCAUCUGAAAAGUACUCAAACUCACUUUUCCAACUAUCCAUUGCUAACUGUCCUCUAGUAAGUAAACAGUGCAAAAAGGGAUAAAGGAUGGAGCAGUUGAAGAUAGCUUGCAUGUCUUAUGCUUGCAUGAAUGACAGAUUACUCAUUAUCUGGGCAGAAAAGGAAAAAGGUUUUAGAUCUCAUAAGGAAACUUGGAUAAAUCAGUGAAAGAUAUAUCACAUCUCAUUCAGGUUUUAACACAAGGUAUGUAAAUAAGAAAAUUUCUUUUAUCUUUUUUUUUUAAAAGAAAUCCAAAUAAUUGAUUAAAUUUUGAAUGAUAACAAAGUGUUCAUUGAAUUGUACAUGCAGAAACCUGAACAAGAAUAUGAAGAAGGGAAGAAUGAAUUCUGGCCUCCAAAGGUAAUUUGAUGACCUAAUAAUAUAUGGUGAGAUGUCAUUAGGUAACAAUGAAACAAUCCCUCUUAAUUAAACCAUGUUAUGUAUAUGUUUGAAAAGAUGGAGGUGGAACUCUCUCUAACCGUCAUUCUCAACUUUCAGAUAAUCUAGGUACUUUGGGAUGCGUUUGGUGCAAAAGAUGAUGGACAGGAUAUGAUAAAAAUCAUUCUAUCCCUUGUUUGAUGUGCACUUCAAAAAGAAGGAUUGGAUUACAAAUAGAAAUUUUAGUACUGGUGAAGUGGUAAUCGUCGCAUGCUAGCGAAAAUCAAAACUUUACCUGACUUCAUAUGCACCCUUUGCAAUUUAGAGACCUUGCUGUUAAAGCGAUGUCACGAGUUAGAAAAGUUAACCUGAGAAAUAGAAAUUCUAGUCAAAUUGCAUCAUCUAGACAUUACAAGUCAUACAAAUUCAGCGAAAAGCAAUGACCUUUGGAACUGGUAGAGUAACAAUGGAUAUAGUCAAUCUUUCAAAUAUUUAAAAAUUUUGUACUCUAACAGAGAGGCUGUUGUCACGAUUUGGAAAAUAGGAAUAUUUGAUGGUUGAUAGUUGCAAGGAAUGGACAUGUUUAAUUGCAAAAGGAAUUGGGAUCCCUUGGGAGCCUAAUGUUUCUCCCUUGGCUGAGAGUUUUGAAUUGUUCACAAGUUGUACUUGUAUCGUUAAAGACAGAGGAAGCAGAAGAGGAGCAUUUGCAACUUGACAGGCUUUGCGAGUUUCAAUGUCUAACAAUUACGAAAUGUGAACAACUUCAAAGGCCACCAAAGGUCUUGGAUUUGGUCAUGUUCCUUGCAGAUAUACAGAUUGCCAAUGCCCAAGCAUGGUUUCUGUUUUAACUAAUAACCUGCUUCUGCCUUGAAGAAGAUUGAGAAUUGAAGAUUGCGAGAAUUAACAAUGUUUGGUGGAUGAAGAAGAAGAUGCUAGCACAACUUCACCUCUCUUAAGGCAGUGACGUUUGUUGGCUGUUCAGCUGACAUUUCCUUUCCUAUUCUACGGCGUCUCCAUGGCUAUUAAGAUAUGAGGCUGGCUUUAAUGAGAAAAGGUGGUGGCUGGAUGAGAUUAGUUUUCUUUGUAAGCUUUGUUCUCUGCAUUGGCUUAGAGCUUUGGCUGAUGUCAUCUUGUUUUCAGGCUAAGAUUCUGUGGCCUGCUUCCCUUUCUUCACCAGUAACGUCUCUAAAGGCCUGCUGGCUGCGGUUGAGUGUUAAGAGAUUCCUCUGGCUCUAUUCUAGCUUUGCUUUCUGGCCAAAUUGGUGUGUUAGACUAAUGUUGCUGAAAUAAAAUACUAUAUUUGCUUCGGAAAUAUUCUCUAAAACAUAUUGGAAAGGGAAAAAGGUGCUGGUGGUUGGAUCAGAUUCGACAGUAGCUGUGCAAUUUUUUUUUGUUUUUUUUGUUAAGCCAUCAGAAGCUUUCAUUAAAACAAUGUAAGAUUACAGAUGGUCAAAAAUCAAGACUAGCAAGUAAAAACCCCCUUACAUAAGAACAGAAAGCUCUUAGAAGCACCUAGAAAAACAUCAAAUCAUUUUGUCUUGAAGCCAAUUCAGCGAAUCAUCUCUCAUGGUAUGUGUAAUGUACCAUGGCAUUGCAGAACUUGGGACAUCUUCCACAGGAUGCUUCCACUGCUACUGAUUAACCUUCAAUGUUCAUUCCUGAUAAGCGCUGGAGAUGGUGGGUUCUAGUAGUGCUCAGCAUCGCCUUUCUCUUGCUUGGUCAAUCCAAACAGGUAAAUUCUAUUUCAAUCAUGUUAUAAUAUACGCUUUAACUUAAUCGAUAACAGAAUCAACUAUGUUAUAAAAUUUGUAGAAAUGGAUUAAUAUUGUAUUUCGACGAGAUUACGAUUUUAUCUUAAUAGGUUUUUAUUUCGAUUAAACUCCAAUUUAUUUCAAAUCAGAGUUUUUACAGAAAAUUUUAAAUGAAUGCCUCUUGAAUUAUGAUGAAACUAAUUACUAAGUGAUUGAUACGAUGAAGUAGCAAUUUCUUUUUCUUCUUUCUUUUUCAUUUUUAUUGUGUGAUUUCACGUUUUAAUAACUUGCAUUUAUUAAAGGAAUUUUUUAUUUGAAAAAAAGUUUGAGAUGUAAACCUGAUACAUUGAAUCGAGUGCUUAGAUAUUAUUAAGGGGGCAUUUCAUUGAGACCAUGUGAGCACUGCUACAUAUCUAUAGUUGUCAUCUAAUGGAUUAAAUUUGGUUCAAUUUUAUCACUUUACUUGAUAAUAGUAAGCCAAAGGAAAAAUAAGUAAAUUCAUCACUUUACUAAGUAUAAUGGAUCACAUUUAUCACUAGUUAUUGAACAGAAAUGAUUUGAUCUCCAUAUUUUUUAAUUGAUCUAAAAAAUUGUCAAUAAUUAAUGGUAAAAGGAUAUUUCAAUAAAAAAUAAAGUAAUAUUUUAAUUUUGAGUAUUUUUAAACUAAAUUUAAAAAUAUUGAUAAAAUUUUAUUUGUUUAAAUAUGAAUAGUAAUUGUGAGCAAAAAUCUAUUAAUUACUCACUGGAAUUACAAAUGUGGUAGUCUAUAGAACAUAAAUAUAAAAAUUGUAUCAUUCGCUAACAUCAUAAUGUUUUGGAUGAUGCAAAUGUUUUAAACACUUGCCAACACAUUUAUUAAGCAUUUAUACACAAUAAGCAUUAUUAACACUUGUAUAAAACCACCAAGUGUUUAACAAAGGAUUAACGUUAACAUGCAAAGCUUACACGUUUAUAAACAUCAAGAGCAGCAUAGGUUCUGGUUUACUAAACUAGUACAACAGAGCAAAAUGGAACACACGACCAAUACAUAAUUCUAAAAGCACCCCAAAAUAUAAUUCAAGCUAGUUUUUUAUCUCAACAAUAAUAUACGUAAUCUAUUCAUUAUAUCAUAAGUCCAGGAAGAGCCAUGUCUAAAAUGUAAACCACAACACUCUUUUGAUGAUGGCAGGUUCAUUUACUCACAGAGAUAGGGCGUGCCUCUUUUACCUGAACACUGUUUAGGACUCUGGUGUCAAGAAGUUGAGGAGGAUUGCAAUUAAUCAUGUUCUAUAUUUAUGUAAAUGUUCCUACAGUUCCGGUGCAAGUUACUUUCUCCCAUGAUGCUAUCUUGGUCUCAUCCACUUUGCAUCAAAUUCCUCUUGCAAUGCUUGUGAGCCUUUUCUGGAUUACUCUGGUGGUUUGCUUUCUGUAUAUUCUGCUGCCUCUCCAUGGCUAGUAAGAUAUGAGGCUGGCUUUAAUGAGAAAAGUGGUGAGUGUGUGAAGAUUAUUUUUCUUCGUAUCUCUGCAUUGGUUUAGAGCUUUGGCUGAUGGCGUCUUUGUUUUUGGGCUAGGAUUCUGUGGCUUUAAGGAGACUUGGUGAAGUCUUUGAAGCAUGUUGCCCUGUCAAAUUUAUCACCUGUUGAUUGUCAGUGGCAUCCAGAAGAAAUGAAUGGUUAUUUAUCACCUGUGCAAAACAGCUGGAUUUCCAGUUCUCUUUCUCUCAAUUGUAUUUUUCACUUCCCCUAAAAAGUUGCCCAGUACCUGCAACAACACAAGCCAGCCUUCACUUUUCUUGUCUUCGGUAGGCCUUUGGUUUCUUCUUGUAGAUACUAGAUUUUGGUUAAUACUGUUACUCUAAAGAAUUAUGUUACAACAUAAUAUUAUAUAGAGAACAACCAGAACAAGUGAAGUGUUACUUCACGCAGAAUAACUAGAACAAGUGAAGCGUUACUUCACGCAGAACAAGUGAAGCGCUACUUCACGCAGAACAAGUGAAGCGCUACUUCAAGUAUUACUUAAAGCAGAACAAUUAGAAAAAGUAAAGUAUUACUCCAUAUAGAAUAACUAAUACAAGUAGAACAACCACUUUGAAUAGAAUAACUGUUUCACUUGGAUGACAGUGAAAGUAACUCAGAAUAAGUGACAGGGUUCAUGGGUUACUUUCAUCUUGGGAUGUUUCAGAGAGUUUGGCUUGGUGGCUGAGAUAUGGAGGUAGUUAAGAGGUCUUCCUCUUAACCCUUUCCUGAAGUACAAGUGUUUCACCCUCUUAUCUUGUUCUCGUAUACUUAUUCAUGUACAGCUUAUUCUCUUGUACCUAUUCUCAUACAGCUUCUUCUCUCGUACCUAUUCUUGUACACCUCUUUUCUAUUACCUUUACUUGAGAACAAGUCUUACUACAUUCAAUUACAGUAACGGUUACUUACAUUAAUAUUCUUCAUAAUAAUGUCAUUCAUUAGGCGCAUUAAAGCCUAUUCUUAUGUAACCGUCACUUUUAACACUAUAUAUAGAGCCUCACAAUUCAUUUGAAAGGACUCUUCUUUCCCUCUCCAAGUUAACACAUUCUCAACUUGAGAGCUUCUCUCUCUAAAUUCUCUCUCUAAUUAUCUUGUACUCUCUAAGUCUCUUUAAUUCUUUUCUUAUUGUCUUCCACCUGUCACAGCACUUAGUACUUCAGGAACUGCUUCAAUCUUCCUCUCUGCCUCCUCUGGCACAUCCUUUUACUUGUUUGCAACACUUCCUCUCCCUAUCACAAGAAACCCUGAUUACACUUCUUAUUUCAACUUUUUGUUCAUUCAUAGCUUCUAUGGAAUGUACCUACAAGCUUCUUAUUACAACUUGUCCUGCAAAUUUUAAUUUAGAAUUUCAAUGAAUGAUGUCUCUUAUUCACAAAGUCAAAUUCAAACUUCUUUCCCAAAAUAAAAUAUACAUCUUUUUAAAAGUUGCAUCUGCCGAGUCAAUUAUCAUGUUAUCAUAUUGCUUUAAUAAUCACGAAGAAACCUGCAAUUGCUAAUUUGAUUUUCUGGUGCUUAUUUUGAUUUCAGCCUUUCAGGAAUUUUUUUGCAUUUUCCAUUGCCAAUUGAGUAUUCACUAGGUUUGCUUUGGUUAAGGCCAAAAGAGGUAGAGAAUUCCUGCAAUGUGCAACAAGCUGUCAGUUCUAUUACAGAAGACAAGUAUGGUUGAUUUGAUGGCAAACAUCAUUACUGGGAGAGACUCAUCAAAAAGAUAAAAUUUGGAAUUAGUUUUUUCAUGAAUAAGUUAUAAUGUUAGAGAUGCUCUCUUUUUUCUGUCUCCUUCCCUAAGACAACAAUGUCCUUCCACAAUAACUUGCUGUUCUUUUAAUUUCUUCUAAAGUAAGCACUUGGCAAAAAAUAUUACAAUUGGGUAUCUUCUACAUUCUCAUUUGUUAUUUCUUUUUUUGGAUUAUUAUUCAUGUAUUGGAUAAUAUUAUUUUUUUAAUAUUAUAAUUAAGUUUUAAUGGAUGAAAGGUAUUCAUUUAGGUAUAUUUUUUAAAAAUAAUAAAUUAUUUAAUUAUUCAAUAAACAUAUAAAAAUAGUUUAAACUCACUCAUUACGUUAAAAACUUCAUUAUCGGUAAAUAAAUAAUAAUAAUCUAUUUCUUCCUAAAACCAAACAAACUCGUUACUUUAUUUCUUUCCUUUCGUUUUAUUUUUAAUAUAGUUUUAUACUCGCAAAUUUGAACACAUUUUUUCAGGUAAUUAAAUUUAUUUAUCAUAUAAAUAAUUUGAAAACAUUUUUUGUUAGAAACUAAAUAAAAUAUUAGUUAUUUUAUUCUAGAACUUUGCAAAAGAAAGCUUUAAGAACAAUCUUUAAGAUUAGAAAACAAAAAACCAUCAUGUUAACAUAAAUAUCACUUUAAAAAGUGUGCUUAGAACAUUUAUUUAUUGCGCAUGGAAUUUGCUAUCGGUCACUCAUUGCUUUGUCCUUGUCUUUUCCCAGCAGUUGCCUCUGGCCUUCAACACCACAUACAGUCCAUCCAUGAAUCAGAAUUCCACGGCUGCAAGUCAAUACCCAACUCAAUUAUUAAGCGAUCCUCACUAACUUCUCUAACUUUCAUGCAACAAAAAUACGUCUCUUUUCCGCAUACUUCAAUCUCCAUUUUUUAUUUCUCUCUUUCUUUCUUGAGCAAAACAAUCAUGUCUGUUGUUGGGGAAGCUGCUCUCACAGCUUUCUUUGAUGGGUUGUUUGGCAAGUUAUCCUCUUCUGAUUUCCUCGACUUUGUCACUGACAAGCAGGUCUUCGAGGAGAUCAACAAGUGGGAAAAGAUGCUGCGGGAUAUCCGUGCCGUGCUUGAUGAUGCAGAGGGGAAGCAGAUGAAGGAUCAGUAUGUGAAGAACUGGUUGGCCGAUCUUCAAGACUUGGCUUACGAUGUUGAUGACAUUUUGGACGAGUUUGCCACUGAAGCUUUGGGGCGCAAGUUGACAUCCUUGGAGGAACCUCAAGGCAUCAAAAAUAAGGUACAAAAGAUCAUUCAUACUUGUUUCUCUUCAAAAACUUUCAUGUUUAAUAAGAAGAUCCUGUCCAAGAUUAAAGAGAUCAGUGCUAGAAUGAAUGAUUUGGCCACAAAAAGAACUCAAUUGGAAUUGCUAGGCAUUAAUGAGGGAGCAAGGUCCAACAGAAUGAUACAAAGGCUUCAGCCUACUUCUUUGGUGGAUGAAACUCAGGUCUACGGUAGGCAAGAAGAAAAGGCAGCAUUACUUGAAUUGCUUCUGAGCAAUGAUGGUACUGAAAAUGAAGUUUCUGUGAUUCCUAUCGUUGGCAUGGGAGGAAUUGGCAAGACAACUCUUGCACAACUUGUCUACAAUGAUACUAGUAUACAAAAUUCUUUCCAUGACAAGGCGUGGGUAUGCGUUUCUGAUGAUUUUGAUGCUGUUAUGAUAACGAAGACAAUUCUACAAUCAAUUGCUCCUGAUUCUUGUACCAAUAUUAGUGAUUUCAAUUCGCUUCAAGUCAAGUUGAAGAAGAAGCUGGCUGGGAAAAAGUUUUUGCUUGUCUUGGAUGAUAUCUGGAACGAGAAUUAUCUGGAGCUGACCAACCUACUCUCUCCAUUCGGAGUUGGAACCAAAAUUCUCAUUACAACACGGAGUCACAAUGUUUCUUCUAUUAUGGGCACUGUUAAAGCUUACCCACUACAACAGUUAUCACGGGAGGAUUGUCUAUCUGUAUUUACUCAACAUGCAUUAAGAGCAAAUGAUUUUAGUGGGCGUCCUGAAUUAAAAGAAGUUGGGGAAAUUAUAGUGAAAAAGUGCAACGGCUUACCUUUGGCAGCUAAAGCCAUCGGCGGUUUACUACGCACUAGCCUGGACUAUGAGGCAUGGAAAGGUAUAUCAGAGAGCGAGAUAUGGGGCAUACCAGAAGAGAAAUGUGGCAUAAUUCCAGCUCUACGAUUGAGCUAUCAUCAUCUUCCGUCACAUUUGAAGCGAUGCUUUGCAUAUUGCUCUAUACUCCAUAAGGAUUAUGAAUUCGGAGAGGAGGAAAUAAUCUUGUUAUGGAAAGCAGAAGGUUUUCUACAACCAGCAAGCCCUGGAACUCAACUCGAAGUUCUAGGUAGUCAAUAUUUUCGAGAUCUAGUCUCAAGGUCAUUUUUUCAAACAUCUACUAGGAACAAGUCUCGAUUUGUAAUGCAUGAUCUUGUCAAUGAUCUGGCUCAAUCGGUUGCAGGGGAAAUAUGCUUCAAAUUGGAGGAUGAUAAACAGUUGAGAUUUUCGGAAGGUACUCGACAUUCAUCUUAUGUUCUUGGUUUGUUUGAUGGAAUGAAAAAGUUUGAAGCCUUCGAUCAAACAAAGCAUUUACGAACCUUUCUACCGUUGUUUGGAUCGUCGUGGCCACCUAAAGGAUAUUAUUGUUAUCUAAGUAACAAUGUCCUCGUUGAUUUGCUGCCCAAACUUCGGUGCUUAAGAGUUCUUUCUUUGAAAGGGUAUUGCAUCAUUGAGUUACCAAACUUUUUUCAAAACUUAAUACAUUUGCGCUACUUGGAUUUUUCUAAUACUAGAAUUAAAAGUUUGCCUGAUUCAGUCUGCACCCUUUAUAAUUUAGAAACUUUACUAUUACAUGGGUGUGAAUUACUUGAAAAUCUACCCUCAAACUUACAAAUUCUAGUCAACUUGCAUGUUCUGGACAUCAGUUAUACGUAUUCAAUGAAAGGGAUGCCAUUUGGAAUUGGUAACUUAACCAAUCUUCGAAGACUAUCUGAUUUUGUUUUGGGCAGAGGUGAUGGACAUCAUAUACAAGAGAUGAAGAAUUUGUUAAAUCUGAAGGGUAAGCUUUGUAUCUCAGGGUUAGAGAACAUUGUUAAUGCUCAAGAUGCAUGGGAGGCUAAGUUAAUAUAUAAGUCAGGCCUUGGCACAUUAGAACUAAAGUGGAGUAGAGAAUUUGAUAAUAAUAGAAAUAAAGAAAUUGAAGAAGAAGUGUUGAAUUUGCUUGAACCCCACAAAAAGCUUGAAGAGCUCUUCAUUCAGGAUUAUGGUGGUACAAAAUUUCCGAUUUGGAUGAGUUCUUCAUUACAAAAUUUGUCGUCUUUGGUUCUCAAGGGCUGUAAAACUUGUGUGUCACUGCCAUCACUUGGAAAAUUACCGUUACUGAAGAAUCUUUGUAUUGUUGGAAUGGAUGAGUUAAAUAAGGUUGGCAUUGAGUUCUACGGGGAGAAUCAAUCAAAUGCAUUUGCUUCGUUACAGAGUUUGAGCUUUCGAAAUAUGCCAAGAUGGAAGGAAUGGGACUUGGUUGAUGAGCAAGUUGUGAAAUUCCCUAGCCUCGUCGAGCUUUCCAUCAGUGACUGCCCUCAAUUGUUGGGAACGUUGCCUAAUCGUCUUCAUUCCUUAAAGAAGCUCGCAAUUAGGACGUGUAGACAAUUGGUGGUUUCACUUUCAGACCUUCCAAAGCUGUCUGAAUUAGAAAUACAUGAGUGUGCAGAGUUGGUGCUUAGAGAUGAUGUAGAUUUUCCCUCAAUAAAAAAAGUCCAUCUUUCAUGUGUUGUAAAGUUUUCUACUCCAACGGAAAGGCUAAAGGAGUUGGGAGUAAUUGGACAUCUAAGGUCUGGAUCUCUCCGUGAAUUGGGAAUUUCAAAUUGUCCACAACUCGUGUUGUUAGAGGCAGAUGAGGUAGAGGAGGCAGAAGUGGAGCUGUUGAAAGUUGGGAAUCUUUGCAAUAUUGAAUCUUUGAGAAUAUGGGAAAAAGGUCUCAAUAUCGAAUCCUUGAGAAUAAGAAAACAUUUCCUCGCAUUUCUUACAGAUAUGAUAAUUGAAAACUGCCCAAACAUAGUUUGUUUUGCAAAGAACAACUUACCCCCACUUUUGAAAAAAUUAGGGAUUGUAAAUUGCAAAAAUUUGCGAUGUUUGGUGGAUGAAGGAGGAAAUAUAAGCAUCACUAACAUAUCUCCUCUUGAGGAUUUGGAUAUUAUGGACUGUCCAUCUCUAAUAUCAUUAUCGUUACCGGUUAGGCUUCGACAUCUUAUGCUUUCGAAGUGCUCAAAGCUAGCUUCCUUAUCAGAAAGCGGCAAGUUACCCAUAGGGCUUAAACAGCUCCUAAUUAUUACCUGCCCAGAGCUCGAAUCCAUAGCAGAAGCAAUUGACGAAAACGCUUGUCUUGAAUCUUUUUGUAUCUUUGAGUGUGGUAUUAAAUCUUUACCGCAAGGAUUUGACAAGCUCAACCAUCUUCGGAGUAUUGAAAUAGUUGCAUGUUCAAAUCUAGUCUCGUUGGAAGGGUUUUUGCCCACCACCAAUUUGACUAACCUUUGGAUCUCUAAGUGUGAAAAUUUGGGAGCCCUGCCCAAUUGCAUGCACAACGUCACCUCUCUUCGACAAUUGCAGGUUGAGAAUGAUUCAGUUAAUCAAGUAUCCAUUCCAGAAGAGGGUAUCUCUACCAACCUCGCAUCACUUAAAAUCUCAGUACCAAGAAAUUAUGAGUCUUUACUUAAAUGGGGACUGCAUAGACUCACCUCUCUUAAAACACUUGAUAUUUCUGGUAGAGGAUGUCCGAAUAUGGUGGCGUUUCCACCAGAGGAGAUAGGAAUGAUGCUGCCUCCCUCUCUCACCCAUUUGACCAUUCGAAAUUUCGAAAAUUUGAAAUGCCUAUCAUCCGAAGGCUUUCAAAACCUCACCACCUCUCUUCAUCAUUUGUCCAUCUCCUCUUGCCCUAAGCUCACAUCUCUUCCUGAAAAAGACAUGCUUCUCUCGCUUUUGGAGUUACGCAUUACAGAUUGUCCAUUGCUAACAGAAGAGUGCAAAAGGGACAGAGGACGAGAGUGGUCCAAGAUAGCCCACAUACCUUGCAUUAAAAUUGAUGCGUGGUGGUCAAGCGAAAGUCAAGUUUGAAAGUCACAGGUAUGAAACCAUUUGAAACGUACGACAAGUUAGAAGCUUCUUAUUUUAACAACAAAAUGAAACUAAUUAUAAUAUUUUUGUCAAUGAUUAUUUGCAGGCAAUUUAAAAGCUUUAGAAGGAAACUUGGUGGGAAACUGGGCUUCCCAUCUUUUCAUCUAAAUGGCAGAAUCAGUGUGUAAUUAAUUGUUGGUUAGUACACUCAAGCACAUACAACUUCAACAGUCUACAGGACCCAACUGGUUUUUCUUCAACUUCAUCAUUGAUUUCGGUUUUUUUUUUUUUUUUAUUCCAGACCUAUGAAAAUCCUGCAGAGGCUGAUGAAUGGAGUGGUCAGUUAAUUCUCUGCAACCUUCAUCUACAUUUUUAGGGUUUGAUAACGAUUUGAUAUUCUAAUAAAAUACUAUUGAGUUUUCUUCAUUUCUAUUAUGAUGAAUUUGGUGUAUUUUUUACAAAUUCAAAGUCUGCCAAUUCUACUUUACUUGCCUAUACCUGGAGUACAUCCUUCACUUUAUUCUUUUAAUUUCGCAUCAUUUUUAUUUGACCUUUUUUGUGACAAUUUCUCAUACUCCAAUCUAUCUUACUUUUCUUAAUUUUUUGGAGGAACUGCUUUAUAAAGAAAAGAAAAGAAAACAGAGGAAAGGAAUAUAAGAUUGGACAUAUGUAGGUUAGAUGCUCCAUUUAAUUCGUUAACAAUUUUAAUUUUCUGCAUGUCUUAUGCUUGUGUGAAUAACAGAUUACUAAUUAUCUGGGCAGAAAAGGAUAUAGGUAUUAGAUCUCACGAGGAAACUUGGAAAAAAAUUCAGUGAAUAGAUAUACCACAUCCCAUUCAAAAAGUUGAUUAAAUUUUGAAUGAUAACGAGGUGGUCAUUUAAUUGUACGGGCAGAAACCUGAACAAGAAUCUGAAUAAGGGAAGAAUGAAUUCUGGCCUUAAAAGGUAAUUUGUUGACCUGAUAAUCAAUACAAUUAAAUGGUGGCAUGCCAUUAGGCAACAAUGAGACAAUCCUUCCUAAGCAAACCAUUUUAUGUAUAACUUUUAAAAGUUUGAGUUGGAACUCUCUCUAACUUCAUUCUCAACUUUCAGAUAAUCUAGGUACUUAGGGAUGCGUUUGAUGCGCACUUAAAAAGUAGGAUAGGAUUGCAAAUAGAAAUUUAGUACUGGUGAAGUGGUCAUCGUCGCAUACCAGUGAAAAACAAAACUUUACCUGACUUUAUAUGCACCCUUUCCAAUUUAGACACCUUGCAAUUAAAGCGCUGUCAGGAGUUUGAAAAGUUAACCUGAAAAAUAGAAAUUCUAGUCAAAUUGCAUCAUCUUGACAUUAGUCAUACAUAUUUAGUGAAAGCAAUGCCCUUUGGAAUCGGUGGACUGACCAAUCUUUAAAAACUGUCUAAUUUUGUUUUGGGUGAAGGUGGUGGAUAUCAGAUAUGGGAGAUGAAGAAUUUGUGGAAUCUCAAGGGUGAGAUUUCUAUUUCAAGGUCGGAGAGCAUUGUUAAAGCUCAAGAUGCCUGGGAAGCUAAGUUGGUUGAUACCCAGGCCUCAAUGAGUUAGAAGUGGAUUCCAACUUUUGAUAACAAUGCAAGAAAUAAAGAAGUUGAAGAAGUGGUGUUGAACUCGUUGAAUUAUGGCUGUCUUUGCUGCAUUGCUGCCACAGGGGAUUAGUUUCUACACAUUUGGAAACCAGCUUGGUUGGAGUCAGGGUCAGUUACUUUUUUGCUCACCAAAUGUUUGAUUAUUUUUUGGCCAUUUGUGCACUUGUUAGUUUGUGUUUCUUAGUUAUAUUUGACUUUUUGAAUCUGUCACCAUGCCUUAUAAUGACAGUUUAUGCAGCAUUAGUUGAAAUAUUUUGUUUUUAGUUUAUUUUUACAAGCAAUGUAUCAAAUAGUGUGAGCAGUUGAAGAUGUUUUUAAUCACUGUCUUGAGUAUAUAAAUAUGUAUUCUCUUAAUGCAAAGUGAUGUAUGAAGAGUUGAAGUUCUGGUAUUUUUUGGGUUUUGUUUUCCCUCUUUGUUUUUCCAGCAAACUUUGGUCUCUUCACGGAGAGUUUAGUAUGCAUAUCCUUAAGUUUUUUUUUUUAUCCAGCAGAAACCAAGGAUAACAUUUCAUUUAUCCCUGUCUGCCCAUAAUCAAUACCAAGGAUAACACUUGUUUUUCUCUGUCUGUCUGUCUGUCCCCAAAAAACCAAGGAUAAAACCUUAUUUCCUUGGUACAAACUCUUUCAAAAUUUACAACAGCAGAAACUAAGGUUUUUGCUUCUGCCUUCAGCUGCUUCUCCUUGGGUAGCCUUAAAAAAGUAAUGUGAGCUGCCACUAAAGCCAAGAGAACUUUUUUGGUCAUCAUAAAGAGCUAAAAUAGCUCACCAUAAUAAUUACGGGACUACCAAAUUUCCAACUUGGAUAGUAGAUUCUUCAUUACAGAAUUUAUUAUCCUUGAAUCUCAUGAAUUGUAAAAUUGCAGAUCAUACCUGCAAUUGGAAAAUUACCACUGUUGGAAUCUCUUUGCAUUGAAGGAAUGGAUGGAGGCUACCAAAGGUCUUGCUUUUGGUCAUGUUCCAUGCAGAUAUACAGAUUGCCAAUGCCCAAACAUGGUUUCUCUUUUAACGAAUAACCUGCUUCUAACUUGAAGAAGAUUUAGAAAUGAAGAUGGCAAGAAUUUACAAUGUUUGGUGGAUGAAGAAGAAGAUACUAGCACAACUUCACCUCUCUUAAGCCAGUUACGUUUGUUGGCUGUUCAGCUGACAUAUCUUUUCCAAAAGUGGAUUUCCCUACCAACCUAACAUCACUUGACAUCACAUCACCCAAUAUUUGGAGGUCACUACUUCAAUAGGGUUUGCAUAGACUCAGCUCUCUUCAAAAACUAUCCAUUAAUGGUGAAGAAUGUCCAGAUGUGGUGUUGUUUCCACAAGAGGCGAUAGGAAUGAUGCUGCCUCCCCCUAUAUGCGAUAUCAACGUAAGUGAUUUCAACAACCUGAAAUUUCUAUCCUCGAAUGGCUUUCAAAACCUCACGUCUUUUUAGUCUUUGGAGAUCAGUGAUUGCUCUAAGCCCACAUCUCUUCCAGAAAAAGACAUGCUUCUCUCACUUUGCCAUUUUCAGAUUGAUAAUUGUCCUUUGCUAGAAGAACGGUGCAAAAGGGAUAAAGGACAUACCUUAUGUUGAAAUCAGUAAUGAACGAAACUAUCCCAAAGAGGUUGAAAUCUAGAAAUUGAAAGUCAAAAGGUAUUAAACCAUUUGAAAGAUAGGCCAGAUAAUUGAAUUCUGAUUAUUUAUUCAUUUAAUUUUUGUUAGAUAUAUAAGAUAAUACUAAGUCUGAUAUGUUAUUGAUGAUAUAUAAUUAAUUUACAGCCACAUUGGAGGCUUGAAAGCUACAAAGUGCAGUUCGUAUAUAUAGCUCUAUUCAAAGAUCAGGUACAAGCUUCUCAUUUUCUUUUUCCAUUUCACUUGCACUUAAACAUAGCAUACUCAUCAAUCCACAACAUUUAACCAUUAAAACAGUUAUGCUCCUCUAACGUCAAGUAUCUGUAAACAACUCUUGGUGUGAAUUUGUUGAUUCAUCAUUUCAGCUUAUGAAACUGAUUAAAAAGUUCAAGGAUGAAGGUGAGUUGAUUUUUCUCUGCUUUUUUACGUCAUGUACAUUGAAGAAUUGAAAAGUGAUUGUUAGAGUAUAUACGCAGUUUCAUGGACAAAAUUGUGUUUUAAUUUUUGGUAAGUUAUAUAUUUGUUCAUACAGAAGCAUAUUUGUUUUGAUUUCAGGAAAUUGCCAUUUUGUUAAAGAAAAUUUAAUUCUCUCUCUCCUUUUCCAUAUUAUCAAUUUUCUUUGUACUUGAUUACUUUAACCCACACCAAUUAUGCUUUCCUUGAGUUUGUUGGAUAGUGAACUACUUUCUGUUCUUUUAGUAUUUUAAUGUUCAUGUAUUUAGUCCUUUGCUUUCUGAGUUUGUAGAGAAUGGAGAGGAAAGGAAAAAUUACAUCCAUAAAAUUCUAAUAUUUUGUUGGAUUUUCCAUUACAGAGGAGUGUCUCCCCACCAAUUGAAUGUUGCUUUGAAUCUCUGCUGCUAAAAUCUGUAUACCAUUAUUACAUUGGGGAGUGCACAUAUGAAUCUGUCGUGGACAACUUCCCAUUGGUGGUGUUAAUGAUGUAGCCGGCCACCUUCCAAACUUUCCUUGUCACCAAGAAGUUCCUAAAUUUGGAAUACCAGCACUGCAAGGGCUUUCAGAACAUCUCCUUGCUCAAAGGUUUGUAUACUUUAAUUGCCUUAAUCUAUAAAAAAGGAUAAAAGAUGAAGUGAUUAGAGAUAUCUCCUGUAUUCAUAACAUAUUACUUAUAAGCUCAAGAGGAACAGUGAAAACUAGUUGUUUUUCAUAGAAAAACAGCGAGAAAAGCAUAAUAUACCAUGCUUGUAAAUUCAAUCCUAGGUAUGGCAAUGGGAAAAUCCUCUCUCCUUUUCCUCUUUGAACAAUUAAUUAAAACUUCUAUGAUCACCAAGUGUUGAUUUACUCGUACAUACAGAAGUUUGAACAUGAUUAGGAAACAACAAGGAUGAAUUCAGCUCCAGUUCUAAUCUAUUGGCCAUAAAAUCAAUGCAAUGCAGAGGUGAGCUUUUAUAUAUUGGACUAUAUUAAGAUAAUAUGCCUCACCAAUAGAAACAAUCCCUCCUUCUAAAUGAUAUAUGCAUGUAUAGUUCUAUUUUUGUAUUGAAUUUCCUUUAGCAAUCACAUAAUAUUGUUUCCACACCACUGGAUAUUACUUAUUAGCCACAGAAGGGAAAAACGGCAAGAAUCAGAGAAACUACCAUACUUGUAGAUAUAUGGUAUGUCAAUUGGAAAAUCCUCCUGUUCUUUUUACACUUUGAUAAUAAUUAAUUAAAGUUUUUAUGCUAACCAAGUUUUAGUCUAGUGUGUACAUGCAGAAAUCUGAGCAUCCAUAGGAAGCAACAACGAUGAAAUUUAACCUCCAGUUGUAAUCUAUUGACUGUAUAAUCAAUUCAAAGCAGAGGUGAGAUUUUAUUAGACUACCUUAAGAUAAUAUCCCUCACCAAUGGACAGCCCUUAUGAUAAAUAACCUUUUGCAUAUCUAUUAGUUACUCAUCUUCAUUCUCAAUAGUGUGACCCUCAUUCACAAUAGGUUUAAGUAGAUGAACCCUGAUUGAAAGUACAUUGCAGUUCUCAAGUAAUGUGUAGAAUUAUUUUUUCACACCAGAACUGUUGUACAACUUGGCACACAGAGAUGCAAAGAGCUUAUGUAACAGCUUUCAUGGCUCUUUAUGCCAAGCUUUUUUUGCUUCUAAUAUUACAUAUUACCAUGCCCUGCAUGUUGCUUCUUCAGCCUUCAACACUAAUCUCUCUAUGUCAAUCCCAGUGAGUCUUCAAUCCCUCCAAAUGACCCAAAAAGUAUCACUAGAGGCAAAAAGUGUCACUAGCGGCAGCACCAAUGCUAACAUACAUCAUUGCAACAUGUCAUCACCUAAAGAGCAAUCAAUGUCAUUGACAGUCAAGAUUUUCUUUUCUAACACUAUGAAUCAGUUGGGUAAGAAUAACUUAUUAAAAAAUUUGCUCUUCAUUUAUCAUUUCUCUUUGCAAAGAAACUUCUUCAAAUUCAUCAGUAGUAUCAUCACUAAUAGAUUCACACUAAUCCCUUAACAAAUUUUCAUAGAUAGACUUUGUAAUGUGCCAUAAACUAGUUGAGCUUUCAGUUUUCUUUUUCUUUUUCAUGAUUAUGCUAUAUAAAGUUUGUAUACUAUGGUAUUGGACUUCAGAAGGAUUAAUUUUCUUGCGCUUUUGAAUUGAGAUUAUGAGAUGUAUAAUAGAUUCAAGCUAAAUGUUAAUCUCUUUUUCCUACUCUUCGUCCUUUCUCUUUUAUCUUCUUCUUUGGCAAAUAAAGAGAUCCAACAAAUUUCAAUACAGGAAAUAAACUGAAUUUUUAUGGCUAUCAUCUGAUGGAUGUUAAGCCAUAAUGCAUGAGCAGGCCUUAAAUCUUCUUGUUUCGCUGAUAGCGAUCUAACUUCUCUGUCACUUGGCUGUGGCAAUGCUUAAAACUUCUGCAGAUCAAAACACCUUUUUCCUUUUAUUGGAUAUGUAUAGUGCAUGCCUUCAUUUUGUAUAAUCAGUAAUGUUCUUUGGCUUUUCAGAAGGUGCUUGUCUGUGUCAUCCCUGUGCCAAAAAGGAGCGUUACAAUGGUAGACGGUAGUUUUGAUGCAAGAUGUUCUAAAAAUGUUUUACCUCUGUUGGUGCCUCAUCCUUAGUCCCACGUAAGUCUCAUGAAUGAUUGGGAAUAGCUAAGUUAUUUUAUUGUUUUUUGACUAGAAUGUCAACAUGAUGUCAUGGUCUUACCCCUGAGGCCACAUUGUUUGACCAGGUGCCACAACCAAAGAAGCUGAAUGUCAAGUUUCCUACUAGUGUUAGUGUCAAUUUUUUAUAUUAAUAGUUAUUCUGUUUUUUCUUCUUGGUAUUUUAUGUUCCUUCAUUAAUAUUGGGAAUUUGGACCUAUGCAUUCUUUCAACCUGAUAUUUUAUUGUAAAAGAAAUGCCAUGAGCAUGGAUAACGGAUGUGGGCAUGAUAACUUGUCAAGUCACCAUACAAAAUUCAUGAAAGCAUAGUGAUUUGCGACCAGGCUGCCAUUGUUGGGAUUUUUGUUAUUGUGGAUUAUGGUGAUUAUUAAAGUCAUAACUGUGGCAAUAUUUUUCUAACAGGCUACUCGUUAUCCAUCACUUUAUGAAGCAAUCGAUGGGUUGUGCAACAGUUACCGAGGCAAGAUUAAAGCAGAAUGGAUUGUUGUGACAAAUUAUUGAUCUGGCACUACCAUGGAGUUUUCUACAGCACUAAUUCAUGGGAAAUAAAAAGCUGAUGAAGUCUUUAGGCCACUUGUACCUACUUUCACUGCAUUAUUUUUCAUAUACAUUCUUUUAGGGGAAAUGAGAAUGGGGGUGAGAGUGGGGAUGCUAAUUGGUAUAUCAAUGAAGUUUAUCACUGUUUGCUAAAGGAUACUUUCUUGUAUUCAGGUGAUGUGUCCCAACCAGGUAAUGGGUAUGCAAUCAGGGAGCUAGUCUCUAGGAUCCAAACACAUAAAUUCAAUUUAGCCUCCUGGUGAGAUUUUGGCUUUGCUUUAUGAUUUUUACUUCAUCGUUUCAUAUAAUAGUUCACACAUAUUUGACUUAUUUCUAAGGCAUAUCUCCAAGUAUAUUUACUUGCAUCUAGUUGAUGUCAGCAGAAUUUUAGAACUCAUCUGAGUUUCAAAAAUGUAUUAGUUCUAACUGUGUCUGACCAUAUACAAUAAAUAAUGAGAUAGCAUAGUAGGGAAUUCUUGGAAAAGUGAAGUAUACUUUAGAUAUACUUAUUAUUAUUGUCAUCAAAUGUCUGAAAAUAUUUGAUUUUUUUGCUUUUUGUUUAUAGCUCCUGAGAAAGGGAAAUGAGUGCCAAUAGUAAAAUCACCACAUAUUUGCAGAACCUGAGGUCUCUCAAUUGGGAAGGUGGGCAACACCUGACUUCAGUUCCCUUUCUAUACAUAACUGUUAAUUAAAUUUUAAUUUUAAUACUUGAAAAUGCAGCAUGAUAAGAAGUUAUUGACCUUUCUUGGGAAGUAGAUUGAAAAUGUAGGGAUCAUUUGUAUGUUUUUUGCUGCUACUUUCCCUUUUUUUCUUAGGUUACUCAGGUCUCUCAUAUUUUCCUAUGUAAUGUAAUUGCAUAAGUUCAGGAAGAGUCAUGUCUAAAAUGUAACCACAAGAAUAUUUUAGUGAUGGCAGGUUCAGAUACUCAGGCAUGCCUCUUUCACCUAAGCACUGCUUGGGACCCUUGUGUCAAGAGGUUGAGGAGGAUUGCAAUCAUGUUCUAUAUUUAUGUCAAUUUUCUUGCAGUCCUGGUGCAAGUUACUUUCUCCGAUGAUGCUAUUUUGGUCUCAUCCCCUUUGCAUCAGAUUCCUGUUGCAAUGCGUUUGAGCCUUUUCUGGAUUACUCUGGUGGUUUACUUCCUAUUCUGCUGCUUCUCCAUGGCUAGUAAGAUAUGAGGCUGGCUUUAAUGAGAAACGGAGGUGGGUGGACGAGAUUAUUUUUCGUUGUAAGCUUUGUUCUCUGCAUUGGCGUAGAGCUUUGGCUGAUGGCAUCUUGUUCUCGGACUAGGAUUCUGUGGCUUGCUCCCCUUCCUUCCAGUAACAUCUCCGUGGACCUGCUGGCUGCGGUUGAGUGUUAAGAGAUUCCUCUGGCUCUAUUCUAGCUUUGUUUUCUGGCCAAAUUGGUGUGCUAGACCAAUGUUGUUGAAAUAUAAUACUAUAUUUGCUUUGGAAAUAUUCUCUAGGACAUAUUGGAAAGAGAAAAAGGUGCUGGUGGUUGAAUCAGAUUCAACCGUAGUUGUGCCUUGGGUGAAGAAGAUUGAGGAUUGCCCUGGGAAUUUGUGUGUUACCUUCAAUUAGAUUGAUCCACUUACUGCUGACAUUGGUGAAGCCUUCUUUGGUACCAUCUGUUGGGAAGUUAAUGGCCUUGCUGACUCUAUAGUGUGUAGAACUGGCAUGUUCAUGGCUUGGUGGUUCAGCAGGCUGUUAUUUUAUCUCCACCCUUUGGGCGCCAUUCUACCAGGCCUGUUAUUAGAGGUUUUAUGGUGUGCAUAUUUUUACGCCUUUGGGUGUUAUUUUAGUCCAGGGAGAUUGCUUGUUAUCUGUUCAUCAACCCAAUAUAUAAGAACCAACUCAAGCCGCCACAAGAAUAGUCAAGCAGUACAUCACAAGAGUCCAUAACUUUACCAGUAAGUUUUUAUAUUUUACACAUUGAUUGCAUGCUUCAUUCGUUAAGAACGAAAGAAACCAAAUGCUACCACAAGAAAGCACCUGGAGAAGCUUGUGUUUGGUUUGCUUGGGAUUAGCUGAUGGAUCCGAAUUAAAGUUAACAGAAAUAAUUUAGAAACUUUCUUCUUUCCCUUUGUAGAAACAUACAUUGGGAGAUGAAAUUGAAUCUAUAUAAGAAUAAAGCUAAUUAAGAGCCUAAGACAACCUUUCCACUCUGCAUCCCUCCUUCCCAACCCAACAACAAAUAGCAAAACUUGCAUGUUGUCAGCCAUAAGAUUAAAGCCUAGAAUUUUCUUCUUUUUUUUUUUGCUAAGCAAAAAUUUUCACUAUUGAAAAUUUAAAGUGUUAAUAAAUAUUAAAAUAUUGAUAAAAUUAUAUUUGAUUAAAUAUAAAUGAUAAUUAUGAACAAAAAUCUAUUAAUUACUCACUUGACUUUACAAAAAAUAAAUACCAAUAAACUCGUUGUUCAUUACUUCUAUACCAUAUGUGAAUAGUCGUCAAAUAGUUGAAUUAAGAUAAAGUAGCAUUAUUCGUUAAAAUUUUUCUCCAUCUCUCUCAUUUUUAUCUCUCUUCAUUUAACUUUUAUGUAUUUAUAUUAAUUUUUUUUAUUUUUAUAUAAAAUCGAGGUUCCAUGGUUUUUAAAACAAAAAGUUAAAAAAAAUCAUGAAAAAUUAUUUUGAAUAUAAAAAAGCAAUAGUAUUAGCUGUUAAAAAAAAAAAGAACAUAAUAUUAAAAUAUUCACAAAAAUAUAAUCCAAUGAAAGGAGACAAAAAGAGUAUGGUAGUCAUAGAUAUCCCUUGUACUCAUCAUCAUCUACAUUAAACAAUUGUACCUUUUAGAAGAAGGUUUUGAUGGUUUAAGAAGUUGAAAAGAGGAGUGAAUAAAAUAGUAUACAAAGAAAUUAAAAAAUUGUCUUAUGUUUGAUUAGAGUCUGUUUAUUGAAAUUAAUAAAUUAUUAUAAUAAUUAAAUAAAUAUGUUAUAUAUAAAAUAAUAAUUUGCCUAAAAAAAAAAAAGAGGACCAACUACUAAAUCAAGUAACAUUUUGUUUUUGUGGUAGUAUUUUGAAGCACAAAAUUGAAGAGGACCAAUAAUUAAAUAAACUUUGAUUGAUUUAUCUGAUAAUAAUGAAAUCUGUGAAUGCAAAAGGCUGAAAUUAAGUAAGGAAAUGCUUCAUUUGAAGGAGAGAGUAAGGAACGCAAAAAGCAAGUAAAACCCAACUCAAUUAUUAAGCUACCCUCACGUACUUCUUUAAGUUUCACACAGCAAAAAUACAUCUCUUUUCCACAUACGCACUUCAAUCUCCAAUCUCCAUUUUUCAUUUCUCUCUUUCUUUCUUGAGCGAAAGGGGAGACUGCUCUCACAGCUUUCUUUGAUGGGCUGUUUGGCAAAUUAUCCUCUCCUGAUUUCCUCAACUUUGUCACCGGAAAGCAGGAGUGCUUUUUAAAUAAUAUCAUGCAUAAUUUUGUUGAUUGUAUAAUUUCAUAUCGGGUUAGAAAAUUUACAAUUUGAAUUAAAUAAGAAUUCGUAAUCGACACAUUGUGUCCAGUACUUUUAUGUGCUUGUUUAUAGAUUACAACUAGGUAGUCAAAUCAUUAAAAUUAACAUUUAUUAAAUGAAGAUAAAAAAAAUAAAUAAGGAUCAUUCAGCCUAACGGAUAUACCUGUUUCAGCUGAGCAUUUCAUGCAUGAAUACUUUUCAUUUUUUAAUGAAAGUAGUAAUACAAUAUUUACAUUGCUCUACAAUUGUUACAUAAAUAAACCAAUAUUUUCAUUGGCAGAAAUAUUACAUUUGGUUAUUUUUCUACAUUUCUAUUUCUUAAUUCUUUUCUUGGAUUAUUAUUCAUUGCAUAGGCAGUAUAUAUAUAUAUAUAUAUUUAAAAUGAAAAUAAUGAACUAUUUAAUUAUUAAAUAAAUAUGUAAAAAUUUUAAACUCACUUGUAGAAUUUAAAAAAAAUUCACUAUCACUUUACAAAAUGAUAAUCUAUUUUUUCAUAAAACCAAACAAACUCAUCACUUUAAUUUUUUCAUUCUCUUUUUUUUUUUUUGCUAUAUUGUUAUACUUGUAGGUUUACUCACAUUUUUCAAGUACUUAAAUUUAUUUAUCAUAUGAAUAAUUUUAAAACAUUUUUUAUUAGAAAAUAAAUAUAGCUAGGGUUUGGGAAAGUAAGAGGCAAGCAGCAUGGUUUAGGAAAGAUAGCAACCAAAAGAAAUAUUAUCGGGUUUAGGGUAUCCUAUGGGUGAUACUCGAAAUCUACUCAAACCCGAAUUGAGUAUUAAAAACCUUAUUCAAAGUUGCUUUAUUACCGAAUAGAGGGUAUCCAAAUCUUUUGUUAUCAAGUCAGAUACUUAUGGAUACUAUAUAAUAGUUACCUGCUACAUCCCUAAGUUAGACUUCACAGUUGCUUUAGGAAACUAUUUGUUGUAUGUGCUUGUACCAAAAGGAAUAAACAAGCUAUUUUACUAUAAAUAACAGUAGGACCACCAUAGCAAAAUAGAAAAUUAAAAAAAAGGAGAAUUGCAAGUAAAUAAAAAAAUUUCCACACACUAACUUUAAAGUUUUAAAAUUAUAUAAACAAAUUAAAAAAUUUUCUUAUGUUUGACUAGAGUAUGUUUAUUGAAAUUAAUAGAUUCUUAUAAUAAUGAAAUAAAAUAUGUGAUAUAUAAAAUGAAAAUUUGCAAAAAAAAGAGGACCUACGAUUAAAUCAAAAUUUGAACCAAAAUGAACCCACCACCACUAGCUUUGGUUAGUGCCCGGUUGACCUUUAUUUUCCGCCACAGUGUAAAUUUUUGGGAAAAAGGCUUACCUUUCGGGUUCUUUUUGGUAACAAGAAGCCUUAACUUUCUUUCCCUUUUGUCUUCUAUUAAUCUAAUUAGAAUCUUUUUUAUUGUACCAAAAAUUCUUCUUUUCACCUUUCCUUUUGCUUUCUCCAAGACCGUGUGGGUUCCAUCCACAAAGAAGAAUUAAUUAACCAAGUACAGAAAGAUAAAAAAGAAAGAAUUUAAAGAGUUAAAUUGAAGAGGACCAAUAAUUAAAUAAAGUUUGAUUGAUUUCUUUGAUAAUAAUGAAAUCUGUUAAUGCCAAAAGGUUGAAAUUAAGUAAGGAAAUGCUUCAUUUGAAGGAGAGAGUAAGGAAAGAAGAAGCAAGGAAAGCCCUGGAAAGAUGUAACAAAAUUAAGAGAGCAAUGAAUGAAGGGAUUAAUGAAUACUUAAAUACUCACCUAAUGAUUUGUGAAUUUGUCUAAUAAAUUUUUAAUUGUUUCCAAAAGGACAGGAAUAGUUGUGGUCAAAUUAUUGGAACACGUAGCCUUGCUCUUUCUUCAACUUGGUUUUGCCUUUAUUCACGGGAGAAACAAAUCCAUUUCGCCCAUGCAUGCAGAACAAGAAUAUGAUUCAAAACACUAACAUGGCUAUACUGACCCACACUACCCGAAAUGGUCCAAUUCCCCAAAAGAAGAAGAAUCUUUUAGAGUUCGAUGACUGCUUUAUUGAAAGUGGGAAUUUGCUUUCGGUGACUCACGGCCAGUUUCUUCCUUGUCUUUUUCCAUCGGUACCGCUGGCUCCAACAAACCACAUGGGGUCAUUCUUCGAAAGAGAAGUCGACGACUCCAAGUCAAUACCCACCUCAAUAAGCUGUUUGGUAAAAAGAACAAGAAUCUUGUAAAGCUCGAUUACUGCUUGAUUGAAAGUAGAAUUUGCUUUGGGUGACUCAUUGCUAGUUUUUUCCUUGUCUUUUUCCAUCACUACCAGUGGCCUCUAAGAAACUACAUGGGGUCUUUCUUCGAAUGAGAAUUCGACGACUCCAAGUCAAUACCUUACUCAAUUGUUAAGCUACCCUCACAAACUCCUUUAACUUUCACACAGCAAAAUACAUCUCUUUUCCACAUACGCACUUCAAUCUCCAUUUUUGAUUUCUCUCUUUCUUUCCUGAGCAAAACAAUCAUGUCUGUUGUUGGGGAGGCCGCUCUCACAGCUUUCUUUGAUGGGUUGUUUGGCAAGUUAUCCUCUUCUGAUUUCCUCAACUUUGUCACUGAAAAGCAGAUCCGCAAGGAGCUCAACGAGUGGGAAAAGAUGCUGCGGGAUAUCCGUGCCGUGCUUGAUGAUGCAGAGGGGAAGCAGAUGAAGGAUCAGUAUGUGAAGAACUGGUUGGCCGAUCUUCAAGACUUGGCUUACGAUGUCGAUGACAUUUUGGACGAGUUUGCCACUGAAGCUUUGAGGCGCAAGCUGACAUCCUUUGAGGAAGGCAUCAAAAAUAAGGUACAAAAGAUCAUUCCUACUCGUUUCUCUCCAAAAACUUUCAUGUUUAAUAAGAAGAUGGUGUCCAAGAUUAAAGAGAUCAGUGCUAGAAUAAAUGAUUUGGCCACAAAAAGAACUCAAUUGGAAUUGCGAGGCAUUAAUGAGGGAUCAAGGUCCGAUAGAAUGAUACAAAGGCUUCAGCCUACUUCUUUGGUGGAUGAAACUCAGGUGUACGGUAGGCAAGAAGAAAAGGCAGCAUUACUUGAAUUGCUUUUGAGCAAUGAUGGCACUGACAAUGAAGCUUCUGUGAUUCCCAUCAUUGGCAUGGGAGGAAUUGGCAAGACAACUCUUGCACAACUUCUCUACAAUGAUACUCGUAUAGAGAAUUCUUUCGAGUACAAGGCAUGGGUAUGCGUUUCUGAAGAUUUUGAUGCCGUUGGCAUAACAAAGAGAAUUCUACGGUCAAUCACUCCUGGUUGUUGUACCGAUGACAAUGAUCUCAAUUUACUUCAAGUCGAGUUGAAGAAGAUGCUGGCCGGGAAAAAGCUUUUGCUUGUCCUGGAUGACAUCUGGAACGAUAAUUAUCUGGAGCUGACCAACCUACUCUCUCCAUUUGGAGUUGGAACCAAAAUUCUCGUCACAACACGGAGUCACGAUGUUUCUUCUAUUAUGGGCACUGUUGAAGCUUACCCACUACAACAGUUAUCAGAGGAGGAUUGUCUAUCUGUAUUUUCUCAGCAUGCAUUAAGAGCAAAUGAUUUUAGUGGGCAUCCUGAAUUAAAAGAAGUUGGGGAAAUUAUAGUGAAAAAGUGCAACGGCUUACCUUUGGCAGCUAAAGCCAUCGGUGGUUUACUACGCACUAGACUGGACUAUGAGGCAUGGAAAGGUAUAUCAGAAAGCGAGAUAUGGGGCAUACCAGAAGAGAAAUGUAGCAUAAUUCCUGCUUUACGAUUGAGCUAUCAUCAUCUUCCUUCACAUUUGAAACGAUGCUUCGGAUAUUGCUCUAUACUCCAUAAGGAUUAUGAAUUCGGGGAGGAGGAGAUAAUCUUGUUAUGGAAAGCAGAAGGUUUUCUACAACCAGCAAGCCCUGGAACUCAACUCGAAGUUCUAGGUAGUCAAUAUUUUCGAGAUCUAGUAUCAAGGUCAUUUUUUCAAACAUCUACUAGGAACAAGUCUCGAUUUGUAAUGCAUGAUCUUGUCAAUGAUCUGGCUCAAGCGGUUGCAAGGGAAAUAUGCUCCAAAUUGGAGAAUGAUAAACAGUUGAGAUUUUCGGAAGGUACUCGACAUUCAUCUUAUGUUUGUGGUGAGUUUGAUGGAAUGAAAAAGUUUGAAGCCUUCAAUCGAACAAAGCAUUUACGAACCUUUCUACCGUUGUCUGGAUCGUCGUGGGCAUGCGAAGGUAAUUGUUAUCUAAGUAACAAUGUUCUCGUUGAUUUGCUGCCCAAACUUCGAUGCUUAAGAGUUCUUUCUUUGAAAGGGUAUCACAUCAUUGAGUUACCAAACUUUUUUCAAAACUUAAUACAUUUGCGCUACUUGGACUUUUCUCAUACUAGAAUUACAAGCUUGCCUGAUUCAACCUGCACCCUUUAUAAUUUAGAAACUUUACUAUUAUAUGGGUGUAGAUUGCUUCAAAAUCUACCCUCAAAUUUACAAAUUCUAGUCAAUUUGCAUGUUCUCGACAUCACUGAUACGUCUUCAAUGAAAGGGAUGCCGUUUGGAAUUGGUAACUUAACCAAUCUUCAAAGAUUAUCUGAUUUUGUUUUAGGCAAAGGUGAUGGAUAUCAUAUACAAGAGAUGAAGAAUUUGUUAAAUCUCAAAGGUAAGCUUUGUAUCUCAGGGUUAGAGAACAUUGUUAAUGCUCAAGAUGCAUGGGAGGCUAAGUUAAUAUAUAAGUCAGGCCUUGGCGCAUUAGAACUAAAGUGGAGCAGAGAAUUUGAUAAUAAUAGAAAUAAAGAAGUUGAAGAAGAGGUGUUGAAUUUGCUUGAACCUCAUAAAAAGCUUGAAGAGCUCUUCAUCCAGGAUUAUGGUGGUACAAAAUUUCCGAUUUGGAUGAAUUUUUCAUUACAAAAUUUGUCGUCUUUGGUUCUCAAGGGUUGUAAAAAUUGUGUAUCACUGCCAUCACUUGGAAAAUUACCGUUACUGAAGAAGCUUUCUAUUGUUGGAAUGGAUGAGUUAAAUAAGGUUGGCAUUGAGUUCUAUGGGGAGAAUCAAUCAAACGCAUUUGCUUCGUUACAGAGUUUGAGCUUUGAGCAUAUGCCAAGAUGGAAGGAAUGGGACUUGGUUGAUGAGCAAGGUGUGAAAUUCCCUAGCCUCGUCGAGCUUUGCAUCAGUGACUGCCCUCAAUUGUUGGGAACGUUGCCUAACCGUCUUCAUUCCUUAAAGAAGCUCGCAAUAAGGUUCUGUAGACAAUUGGUAGUUUCACUUUCAAACCUUCCAAAGCUGUCUAAAUUGCAAAUAUGUGAGUGUGCGGAGUUGGUGCUGAGAGAUGAUGCAGACUUUCUCUCAAUAAAAGAAGUCCGUCUUUCAAACAUUGGAAAGUUUUCUACUCCAACGGAAAGGCUGGUAUCAACAUCAACAACAUUGAAGCAUUGUGAUCUUCCUGAUUGUGAGGGAUUGACAUAUUUAUCGCUAAAGAUGUUGGGACUGUUGGGAUCUGUCCGUAAAUUGGAAAUUUUUGAAUGUCCACAACUUGUGUUGUUAGAGCCAGAUGAGGUAGAGGAGGCAGAAGAGGAGCUGUUUCAAGUUGGGAAUCUUUGCAAUAUUGAAUCUUUGAGAAUAUGGGAAGCUGGUGUCCAGAUGGACUCUUUGAGAAUAAGAAAGCAUUUUCUCCCAUUUCUUACAGAGAUGGAAAUUGAAGAUUGCCCAAACAUAGUUUGUUUUGCAAAGAACAACUUACCCCCGCUUUUGAAAAAGUUGGAGAUUGCAAAUUGCAAGAAUUUGCGAUGUUUGGUGGAUGAAGGAGAAAAUAUAAGCAUCACUAACAUAUCUCUUCUUGAGCAUUUGAAUAUUAUUCGCUGUCCAUCUCUAAUAUCAUUAUCAUUACCUGUUAAGCUUCGACGUCUUUAUCUUCGGGGUUGCUUAAAGCUAGCUUCCUUAUCAGAAAGUGGCAAGUUACCCAUAGGGCUUAAAGGGCUUUACCUUUCUUUCUGCCCAGAGCUCGAAUCCAUUGCAGAAGUAAUUGACGAAAAUGCUUGUCUUGAAUCUAUUAGCUUCUGCAAUUGUGGUAUUAAAUCUUUACCGCAAGGAUUAGACAAGCUCAACCAUCUUCGGAGUAUUGAAAUAAAUAGAUGUUCAAAUCUAGUCUCGUUGGAAGGGUUUUUGCCCACCACCAAUUUGACUAACCUUUGGAUCUCUGAAUGUGAAAAUUUGCGAGCCCUGCCCAAUUGCAUGCCCAACCUCACGUCUCUUCGAGAAUUGACGGUUUGGAAUAAGUCAGGUGAUCAGAUAUCCAUUCCAGAAGAGGGUAUCUCUGCCAACCUCACAUCACUUAAAAUCUCAGUACCAAGAAAUUAUGAGUCUCUAAUUAAGUGGGGAUUGCAUAGACUCACCUCUCUUAAAACACUUGAUAUUUCUGGGAGAGGAUGUCCGAAUAUGGUGGCGUUCCCACCAGAGGAGAUAGGAAUGAUGCUGCCUCCCGCUCUCAUGAAAUUGAGCAUUAAAAAUUUCAAAAAUUUGAAAUGCCUAUCCUCCAAAGGCUUUCGAAACCUAACCUCUCUUCAUCAUUUGUCCAUCUCCUCUUGCCCUAAGCUCACAUUUCUUCCUGAAAAAGACAUGCUUCUCUCACUUUUGAAGUUAUGCAUUGGAGAUUGUCCAUUGCUAGAGGAAAAGUGCAAAAGGGGCAAAGGACGAGAGUGGUCCAAGAUAGCCCACUUACCUUGCAUUAAAAUUGAUGUGUGAUAGUAAAGCGAAAGUCACAGGUAUGAAACCAUUUGAAACCUACGAUAAUUUAGAAGCUUCUUAUUUUUAACAACAAAAUGAAACUAAUUAUACCUUUUUUUGUCAAUGAUUAUUUGCAGGCAGUUUAAAAGCUUUAGAAGGAAACUUGGUGGGAAACUAGGCUUCCCACCUUUUCAUCUAAAUGGCAGAAUCAGUGUGUAAUUAAUUGUUGGUUAGUAGACUCAAGCACAUACAACUCCAACAGUCUACAGGACCCAACUGCUUUUUCUUCAACUUCAUCAUUGAUUUCGUUUUUUUUUUUCAGACAUAUGAAAAUGCUGCAGAGGCUGACGAAUGGAGCGGUUAGUUAAUUCUCUGCAACCUUCAUCUACAUUUUUAGGGUUUGAUAACGAUUUGAUAUUCUAAUAAAAUACUAUUGAGUUUUCUUCAUUUCUAUUAUGAUGAAUUUGCUGUAUUUUUUACAAUUUCAAACUAUGCCAAUUAUACUUUACUUGCCUAUACCUAGAGUACAUCCUUCACUUUAUUCUUUUAAUUUCACAUCAUUCUCAUUUGAUCUUUGUGUAACAAUUUCUCAUACUCCAAUCUAUCUUACUUUUCUUAAUUUUUUGGAGGAACUGCUUUAUAAAGAAAAGAACUGAAAACAGAGGAAAGGAAUGUAAGAUUGGAUAUAUGUAGGUUAGAUGCUGCAUUUAAUUCGGUAACAAACUUUAAUUUUCUGCAUGUCUUAUGCUUGUGUGAAUAACAUAUUACUAAUUAUCUGGACAGAAAAGGAAAUAGGUAUUAGAUCUCACAAGGAAACUUGGAAAAAAUUCAGUGAAUAGAUAUACAACGUCCUAUUCAAAUAGUUGAUUAAAUUUUGAAUGAUAAUGAAGUGUUCAUUAAUUGUACAGGCAGAAACCUGAACAAGAAUCUGAAUAAGGGAAGAAUGAAUUCUGGCCUUCAAAGGUAAUUUGUUGACCUAAUAAUCAAUACAAUUAAACGGUGGCAUGCCAUUAGGCAACAAUGAGACAAUCCUUCCUAAGCAAACCAUUUUAUGUAUCACUUUUAAAAGUUUGAGUUGGAACUCUCUCUAACCUUCAUUCUCAACUUCCAGAUAAUCUAGGCACUUAGGGAUGCGUUUGAUGUGCACUUAAAAAGAAGGAUAGGAUUGCAAAUAGAAAUUUUAGAACUGGUGAAGUGGUCAUUGUUGCAUGCCAGUGAAAAACAAAACUUUACCUGACUUCUUAUGCACCCUUUGCAAUUUAGACACCUUGCUAUUAAAGCAAUGUCACGAGUUAGAAAAGUCAACCUGAAAAAUAGAAAUUCUAGUCAAAUUGCAUCAUCUUGACAUUAGUCAUACAAAUUCAGUGAAAGCAAUGCCCUUUGGAAUUGGUAGACUAACCAAUCUUUAAAAACUGUCUUAUUUUGUUUUGGGUGAAGGUGGUGGAUAUCAGAUAUGAGAGAUGAAGAAUUUGCGGAAUCUCAAGGGUGAGAUUUCUAUUUUAGGGUUGCAGAGCAUUGUUAAAGCUCAAGAUGCAUGAGAAGCUAAAUUGAUUGAUACUUGGGCCUCAAUGAGUUAGAAGUGGAUUGCAACUUUUGACAACAAUGCAAGAAAUAGAGAAGUUGAAGAAGUGGUGUUGAACUCGUUGAAUUAUGGCUGUCUUUGCUGCAUUGCUGCCACAGGGGAUUAGUUUCUACACAUUUGGAAACCAGCUUGGUUGGAUUUAGGGUCAGUUUACUUUUUGCUCACCAAAUGUUUGAUUAUUUCUUUGGUCAUUUGUACACUUGCCAGUUUGUGUUUCUUAGUUAUAUUUGACUUUUGGAAUCUGUCACCAUGCCUUCUAAUGACAGUUUGUGCAGCAUUAGUUGAAAUAUUUUAUGUUUAGUCUAUUUUUAGAAGCAAUGUAUCAGAUAGUGUGAUCAGUUGAAGAUAUUUUUGUUCACUCUCUUGAUUAUAUAAAUAUGUAUUCUCCUAAUGAAAAGUGAUGUAUGAAGAGUUGAAGUUCUGGCCUUUUUUGAGUUUUGUUUUUCCUCUUUGUUUUUCCAGCAAACUUUGGUCUCUUCAUCGAGAGUUUAGUAUGCAGAUCUUUAAGUUUUUUUUAUCCAGCAGAAACCAAGGAUAACAUUUCUUUUAUCUGUAUCUGCCCAUACUCAAUACCAAGGAUAACACUUGUUUUUCUCUGUCUGUCUGUCCGCACAAAACCAAGAAUAACACCUUAUUUCCUUGGUACAAACUCUUUCAAAUUUACAACAGCAGAAACAAAAGGUUUUUGCUUCUGCCUUCAGCUGCUACUCCUUGGGUAGCCUUGGACAAGUAAUGUGAGUAGCCACUAAAGCCAAGAGAACUGUUAGAAAAGUGAUCUUUAUUUGGUUGAUGAAAAGCUGAGUUGGUUGUUGAGGAGGAGAAAACCAGAUGGCGGGUUGCAACGGUAACUUGAAGUUCUGAAGUAGCUGUUGGCGUCAAAACGCAGUAAGCAGGAGUUGUUUUUUACUUUACUGAAUUUUUUGUUAAUGAAACGUUGCAGGAGUGUGUCGUUUUACUUAGUCUUCUGUUAUGCCGUUACUCAUACGAUGUCGUUUAGUAUUUCUUGUAAGGCUUUAAGCCAAGUUUGGUUCAGUUUGUUUUUCUGUUGCUUGGCACUGGUUUUCAUGGUGAAUGCUGAGCCAAGUUUUAGGCUCAAUUCAUUUGUUUGAAAAUCGUUGCUACAUUUUAGGAUCCAGAAAGUUUGAAUUUUAAAAUUCCUCAUAUAAAUACUGAAAAAUGUAUUGAGCGGGUGGUUAAAUUCCAGAAUAUUUUUCUACUCUGUUCGGAAAAGCUUAUUCUUCUCUUUUCUCUGCUGUUUCUUCCUUAAUUCUCUGGAAUUCCUAAACACUUAGUAAUUCUAGCAAGAACUUUCUUGGUCGUCAUAAAGAGCUAAAAGAAGCUCACCAUAAAAAAUUAUGGGACUACCAAAUUUCCAGCUUGGAUAGUAAAUUCUUCAUUACAAAAUUUAUUGUCCUUGAAUCUCAUGAAUUGUAAAAUUGCAGAUCAUACCGGCAAUUAGAAAAUGAUCACUGUUGGAAUCUCUUUGCAUUGAAGGAAUGGUUAGGGUGAAUAACAUUUGUGAAGCAAUUGGGAUCGCUUGGGAGCCUAAUGUCUGUCCCUUGGCUGAGAAUUUUGCAUUGUUCACAACUUGUACUUGUAUCAUUAGAGCCAGAGGAAGCAGAAGAGGAGUAUUUGCAACUCGACAGGCUUUGCAAGUUUGAAUGCCUAACAAUUACGAAAUGUGAAUGACUUCAAAGGCUACCAAAGGUCUCGCAUUUGGUCAUGUUCCUUGCAGAUAUACAGAUUGCCAGUGCCCAAGAAUGGUUUCUGUUUUAACGAAUGACCUACCUCCGACUUGAAGAAGAUUGACGAUUGAAGAUUGCAAGAAUUUACCAUGUUUGGUGGAUGAAGAAGAAGAUACUAGCAGAACUUCACCUCUCUCAAGGCAUUGACGUUGGUUGGCUGUUCAGCUGACAUAUCCUUUCUAGAAUAGGUUUUCCCUACCAACUUAGCAUCACUUGACAUCACAGCACCUGCAUAGACUCAGCUUUCUAAAAAACUGUCUAUUAAUGGUGAAGAAUGUCUAGAAGUGGUUUUGUUUCCACAAUAGGAGAUAGGAAUGAUACUGCCUCCCCCUCUCAGCGAUAUCACCAUAAUUUUGAAAACCUGAAAUAUCUAUUCUCCAAGGGCUUUCAAAGCCUCCCCAUCUGGUAGUCUUCAGAGAUCAGUGAUUUCUCUAAGCUCACAUCUCUUCCAUUAAGAGACAUGCUUCUCUUGCUUGGUCAUCUUCAGAUUGAUGAUUGUCCUUUGCUAGAAGAACGAUGCAAAAGGGAUAAAGGACAUAUCUUAUGUUCAAAUCAAUAAUGAACAAAAUUAUCCCAAAGAAGUUGAAAUCUCGAAAUUGAAAGCAAAAGGUAUUAAACCAUUUCAAAGAUAGGCCAGAUAAUUGAAUUCUGAUUAUCGUUCAUUUAAUUUUUGUUAGAUAUAUAACAUAAUAGUCAUUUUGAUAUGUUAUUGUUGAUAAUUAAUUUACAGCCACAUUUCAGGAUUGAAAGCUACAAAGUGUAGUUGGUAUAUAUAGCUCCAUUCAAAGAUCAGGUACAAGCUUCUCAUUUUUUUCCUAUUUCACUUGCAAUUAAACAUAGCAUGCUCAUCAAUCUGCAACAUUUAACCAUUAAAACACUUAUGCUUCUCUAACUUCAGAUAUCUCAAAAAACCUCUUGCCGUGAAUUUGCUGAUUCGUCAUUUAGACUUAUGAAACUGUUAAAAAGAUCAAGGAUGAAGGUGAGUUGAUUUUCCGCUGCUUUUAUAUGUCAUGUACAUUCCCAUUAAAAGAAAUGUCAUGUACAUUAAAGAAUGGAAAAGUGAUUGUUAGAGUACAUAAGCAGUUUCAUGGACAAAAUUGGGUUUUAAUUUGGUAAAUUACAUAUAUACUUGCCUUGUGAAAUUGUUAGUUGUUUAUACAGAAGCAUAUUUGUUUUGAUUUCAAGAGAUUUCCAUUUUGUUAAAGAAAAUCCAAGUCUCUCUUUCCUUUUCUAUGUUAUCAACUUUCUUUAUACCAUGCCAAUUAUGCUUCCCUUGAGUAUGUUGAACAGUGAACUAAUUUCUUUUCUUUUAGUAUUAUAAUGUUCUUGUAUUUAGUUUUUUGCUUUCUGAGUUCGUAGAGACAAUGUAGAGGAAGCAAAUAAAUUUCAUCCAUAAAAUUCUAAUGUUGUAUUGGAUUUUCCAUCUUAGAGGAGUGUGUCCCCACCAACUGAAUGUUACUUUGGAUCUCUGCUGCUAAAAUCUGUAUACCAUUAUUACAUCGGGGAGUGCGUAUACAAAUCUGUCAUGGACAACUUCCCAUUGGUGGUACUGAUGCAGCCGACCAACUUUCAAACUUUCCUUGUCAUCGGGAAGUUCCCAAUUUGGAAUAGUAGCACUACAAGAGCUUUCAGAACCUCUCCUUGCUCAAAGGUUUUUAUGCUUAAUUGCCUUGAUCUAUAAAAAAAAAGGGAUAAAAAAUGAAGUGGGUAAAGAUAUCUCCUGUGCCUCAUGUAUUAAUAACAGAUUACUUAUUAGUUAGAACAGGAACAGUGAAAACUAGUUGUUUUUCAUAGAAAAGGAGCGAAAAAGGCAGAACAAAUAUUGCUCGUAAAUUCAAUCCUUGUUAUGUCAAUGAGAAAAUCUUUUCUCCUUUUCCUCUUUGAACAAUUAAUUAAAACUUGUAUGAUCACCAAGUGUUGAUUUUCUUGUACAUACAGAAGUCUGAACAUGAUUAGGAAACACUGAGGAUGAAUUCAGCAUCCAGUUGUAAUCUAUUGGCCAUAAAAUCAAUGCAAUGCAGAGGUGAGCUUUUAUAUAUUGGACUACAUUAAGAUAAUAUGCCUCACCAAUGGAAACAAUCCCUCCUUCUAAAUGAUCUAUGCCUGUAUAAUUCUAUUUUUGUAUUCAAUUUCCAUUAGCAGUCACAUAUUAAUGUUUCCACACCCGCUGAAUAUUACUUAUUAGCCACAGAAGGGAAAAAGGGUGAAAAUUAUAGAAACUACCAUGCUUGUAGAUAUAUGGUAUGUCAAUUGGAAAAUCCUCCCUUUCUUUUUGCACUGUGAUCAUAGUUAAUUAAAGUUUAUAUAUUAACCAAGUAUUAGUCUAGUUGUACAUGCAGAAAUCUGAGCAUUAGUAGAAAGAACCAAUGAUGAAAUUUAACCUCCAGUUGUAAUCUAUUGACUAUAUAAUCAAUUCAAAGCAAAGGUGAGCUUUUAUUAGGCUACCUUAAGAUAAUAUGCCUCACCAAUGGAACAUCCCUUAUGCUAAAUAAUCUUAUGCAUAUCAAUUCCAAAGUUUCAGGUUGGAGCUAUUAGUUACUCAUCUUCAUUCUCAAAACUGUGACCCUCAUUCACAAUAGGUUUAAGCAGAUGAUCCCUGAUUGAAACUAAAUCGCAUUUCUCAAGUAUUGUGUAGAAUUAUUUUUUCACACCAGAACUGUUUUACAACUUGGCACACAGAGAUGCAAAGAGCUCAUGUAACAGCUUCCAUGGCUCUUCAUGCCCCACUUUUUCUGCUUCUAAUAUUAAACAUUUACCAUACCCUGCAUGUUGGUUCUUCAGCCUUCAGCACUCAUCUCUCUUUGUCAAUCCCAGUGAAUCUUCAAUGCCUCCACAUGAAGCAAAAUGUGUCACUAGUGGCAGCACCCGGUAACAUACAUCGUUGCAACAUGUCACCACCAAAAGAGCGAUUGAUGUCAUUGACAGUCAAGGUUUUCUUUUCUAAUACUAUGAAUCAGUUGGGUAAGAGUAAGUUUUUAGAAAAUUUGCUUCAUUUAUCAUUUCUCUUUGCAAAAAAACUUGUUAAAAUUCAUCAGUAGUAUCAUGACUAAUAGAUUCACACCGAUCCUGUAAUAAAUUUCAUAGAUAGACUUUGUAAUGUGCCAUACACUAGUUGAGCUUUCAGUUUUCUUUUUUCUUUUUCAUUAUUAUGCUCUUUAAAGUUUGUAUACUAUUGCAUUGGACCUUCAGAAAGGAUUAAUUUUCUUGUGCUUUUGAAUUGAGAUUAUGAGAUGUAUAAUAGAUUCAAGCUAAAUGUUAAUCUCUUUUUCCUACUCUUCCUCCUUUCUCCGUGUCCUCUUCUUUGGCAAAUAAAGAGAUCCACCAGAGUUCAAUACAAGAAAGGAACUGAAAAUUUUUAUGGCUUUCCUCUGAUGAUGUUAAGCCAUAAGCUUCCACCCAUUGCAGCAUGAGCAGGCCUUAAAUCUUCUUUUCUUGCUGAUAGCAAUCUAACUUCUCUGUUACUUGACUGUGGCCAUGCUUAAAAUUUCUGCAGAUGAAAACACAUUUUUUCCUUUUGUUGGAUAUGUGCAGUGCAUGCCUUCAUUUUUUCAGAAGGUGUUUGUCUUUGUUAUCAAUUGGGCCAAAAAGGAGUGUUACAAUGGUAGACGAUAGUUUUUACACAAGAGUUCUACCAAUGUUUUUCUCUGUUGGUGCCUCAUCCUUAGUUCCUUGUAAGUCUCACGAAUGGCUGGGAAUAGGUAUGUUGUUUUAUUGUUUUUUGACUAAAAUUGCAACUCGAUGUCAUAGCCUUGCCCCUGAGAUAGAAUGUUACACAAGGGUUCCACAUUCUGAAGCCAUCCUUUUGUGAAACUUCAUGCGCAGCAUCAACGGUGCAUAAAAGAUAUUAAAAAAUAUAAAUAGGGUCACAAACUCCGACAUUUUGAAGCCCUUUUUCUUCUAGUGCAUGCCAGAACCAAAGAAGCUGAAGAUCAAGUUUCCUACUAGUUUAGUGUCAAUUUUUUAUGUUAAUAGUUAUUCUGUUUUUUCUUCUUGGUAUUUUGCAUACAUUCAUUAUUAUUGACAAUUUAUUAUUGGGAAUUACUCAUGUGUGUUCUGGCUGUUUUCAUAAUAGCUCCAGCUUCCAAAAUGUGAAAUUGAAAAGCAAACUGCUUCAAAUUGUUCGUAUUUGCAGUUUUGUAAAACUUCUUUUUUCUUUUAAUUCCUUUUGUGCUUCAGCAUUUAUAGGUUCUUUUGGCUGUUUUGAAUGGGACUGAGCUGAUGGAGGCUGUCAUAAUGAUAUACCUAUUGAGGAGAUCAAAGCCAAUGUGGCAGGAUUCUGUCAAGAAGAGGCUUUGCUUCGAUGCCUGUGACAGUGCCAAGAUUGUUGCUGAUGCUGUUAUCUCUGAUUUCAAUGAAGUCCUGGAGGCUGUAAGUGCCUCUCUCUAUUUUCAUGUUACUUGUGUUUCUAAUCCCAUUUUUUGUUGUUUGAGCUUGGGAUUUACUUCUUUUAUAGUUUUCCUUUAAUUAUGUUGGUAAAACAGUUCCUUUUUUAUGUUUCAUAGCUCUUUUCUUUCUUAUUUUGCUUGAAUUUGAAAUUUAGACCGAUGGAUUUUUUCAACCUGAUAUUUUUUUGUGAAAGAAAUGUCAAUAUUAUAUAAAGAAAAUAGGAUUUGAAAGUUUGCAUCAUGAACAUGGAUAACGGAUGUGGGCAUGAUAACUUGUCAAGUCACCAUUAUAAAAUUCUUGAAAACAUCGUGAUUUGUGACCAGGCUGCCAUUGUUGGGAUUUUUGUUAUUGUGGAUUAUGGUGAUGAUUAAAGUCAUAACUAUGGCAAUUUUUUCCAUUAGGUUGCUCGUUAUCCAUCAUUUUAUGGAGCAAUUGAUGGGUUGUGCAACAACUACUGAGGCAAGACUAAAGCAGAAUGGAUUGUUGUGACAAAUUAUUGACCUGGCACUAACGUGGAGUUUUCUGCAGCACUAAUUCAUGGGAUAUAAAACACUGAUGAAGUCUCUAGGCCACUUGUACCUACUUUCACUGCAUUAUUUUUCUUAUACAUUCUUUUGGGGAAAUGAAAAGGGGGUGAGAGGGGGGAUGCUAAUUGGUAUAUCAAUAAAGUUUAUCACUGUUUGCUACAGGAUACUUAUUUGCGUUCAGGUGAUGCGUCCUAACCAGGUAAUGGGUAUGCAAUCAGGGAGCUAAUCUCUACGAUCCAAACACAGAAAUUCAAUUAUAGCCAACUGGUGAGAUUUUUGCUUUGCUUUAUGAUUUUUACUUGAACGUUUCAUAUAUAGUUCACAUAUCUGUCUUAUUUCUAAAACUUGUCUCCAAGUAUAUUUACUUGCAUCUAGAUAAUAUCAGCAGAAUUUUAGAACUCAUCUGAGUUUCAAAAUGUACUAGUUUUAACUGUGUCUUACUGUAUGCAACAAAUAAUAAGAUAACAUAAUGGGGGAUUCUUGGAAAAGUGAAGUAUCCUUUAGAUAUAUUUAUUAUUAUUUGAUGACAAAUGUCUGAAAAGAUUUGAUUUUAUUUACUUUUUGUUUAUAGGUCCUGAGAAAGGGAAAUGAGUGCCAAUAGUAAAAUUACCAAAAGAUAUUUGCAGAACCUGAGGUCUCUCAAUCGGCAAGGUAGGCAGCACCUCAUUCAGUUCCCUAUCUAAAUAUAACUGUUAAUUAAAUUUUAAUUUUAAUGCUUGAAAAUGCAGGAUGAUAAGAAGUUACUGACCUUUCUUGGGAUGUAGACUGAAUUCUGCUUUGGGUUUGUAGGGAUCAUUUGUGUGUUCAUCACUGCUACUGCCACCACUGCUGCUGCUACUUUCCCUUUUUUUUCUUAGGUUACUCAGGUCUCUCUUAUUUUCCUAUUUAAUGUAAUUAUAUGUAAUCGAUGCAUUACAUCAUAAGUCCAGGAAGAGUCAUGUCUAAACUGUAACCACAACAAUAUUCUGAUUAUGGCAGGUUCAUAUACUUAGGCAUGCCUCUUUCGCCUGAACACUGUUUAGGACCCUGGUGUCAAGAGGUUGAGGAGGAUGGCAAUCAUUUUCUAUAUUUAUGUCAAUGUUCUUGGAGUUCCGGAGCAAGUUACUUUCUCCGACGAUGCUAUUUUGGUCUCAUCCCCUUUGCAUCAAAUUCCUCUUGCAAUGCUUCAGAGCCUUUUCUGGAUUACUCAGGUGGUUUGCUUCCUAUUCUGCUGCUUCUCCAUGGCUAGUAAGAUAUGAGGUUGGCUUUAAUGAGAAAAGGUGGUGGGUGAAUGAGAUUAUUUUUCUUAAUAAGCUUUGUUCUCUACAUUGGCUUAGAGCUUUGGCUGAUGGCAUCUUGUUUUUGGACUAAGAUUCUGUAGCUUUAAGGAGACUUGGUGAAGUCUCCUUUGGUAAAAUCUGUUGGGAUGUUAAUGGCCUUGCUGACUCUUUAGUGUAUAGAACUGAUAUGUUAAUGGCUUGGUGGUUAUACUCAGUCGCUCUGAUAUUUGGUGCAAGUUUUUCGGGAGGCUGUUAAAUUAUCUCCACCCUUUGGGCACCAUUGUACUAGGCCUGUUAUUAGAGCUUUUAUGGUGUGUACAUUUUUACUCUUUUGGGUGUUAUUUUAGUCCGGUGAGACUGCUUCUUAUCCGUGUCCCAGGUGUUGUAUUUUUUCUUUCAGCUUUCAGUAACAUCUAACCACAACAGAGAUGCAAAAUUGGUGUAGCAAACCAUUGUUUGAAGCAUGUUGCCCUGUCAAAUUUAUCAUCUGUUGAUUGCCAAUGGCAUACAGAAGAAUUGAACAGUUAUUUGAUAAAUAAGAUUCAAUGUUUGUAUUCUUGGAUAUUUGGAACUGUAUGUGCAGGGUUGAAGGACCAACCGACAAUGACCAGAGCUUUAUUUAACAAAAAGAAUACCAAAUAAUUGUCUCUAGAGUGGUUAGUAAGGAUAUUAUAGUUGUUGUCCCAGUGGUCACAAAAACUGAGUCCUUCAUGAAGGAAAAUUGAUGGUGGAUAAGGCAAUUUAUGGGUGGUGCCAAACAAAUUGUUCAGAGGAUCUAAUCUAACAACAAUAAUCCAAUAUAUAAGAACAAGUCCUGCUGCCACAAGAAUAAUGUGUAGAGUACAUCACAAGAGUCCAGUUAUUAAGUUUUUAUGUUUUACACACUGAUUGCAUGCUUCAUUCCUUAAGAACGAGAGAAACCAAGAACAUGUAGCGGGCUAACAGCUCCAAAUGCUUACUCAAGAAAGCACUUGGAAAGCCUUCUCUCUGCCUCUUUAGAUGCAUUAGGCACAUUUUUACAAGGCAGUAAGUGUCUUUUUACUAUUACCUUUGGUUAGAUGGAGGUUCUUAUUCUCAUUUGCAUGACGGUGUUUUAUAGUUCCAGGAAAUACCAGUUCAUAAAGGUUUAACAGAAAUAAUUUAGAAACUUUCUUCUUUCCCGUUUUAGAAAGAGUGGGAGAUGCAAUUGAAGUUAUAUAAGAAUAAAGCUACGAGCCUAAGGCAACCUCUCCAUUCUGCAGCCCGCCUCCUUCCCAACCCAACAACAAAUAGUAAAACUUGAACGUUAAACUGAUCUUCCUCUUGCUUUGAAGUGCAGAUCUUCUGAUAGUCCUUUUCAUGAACUUGCCACUGUAGGAUCAAGUACUUAUAGGCACUAUGUCACAGGAUUUAUAGCCCAAACUAGAAUUUUCACUCCUUUUUUUUUUUUGGGUCGAGUUCUCACACCAGUUGGGUUCCUGGCCACAAGUUUAACAGUAUCUAGAAUAAACCGUACCAUAUCUGUCAGCCAUAAGGUUAAGGCCUAGAAUUUUCGCUUAUAGUAUACAUGCUCAAUUUUGUUUUUAACGUGUUAAUAAACUUAAGACAUAACAAAUCAACCUUCAUUUCGUCUUAAAACCAAUUCAGCAAUCAUCUCUUAUGGUAUGAUGUAUAAUUAAUGUACCAUGCCAUUGCAGAACUUGGAACACCUCUUCCUGAGGAUGCUUCCACUGUCACUGAUCAACCUUCAAUGUUGAUACUUGAUAAGCGCUGGAAAUGGUGGGUUCUUGUGGUAAUCAGCAUCGCCUAUCCCUUGCUUGGUCAGUCCAAACAAACAAAUUCUAUUUCAAUCAUGUUAUAAUAAACACUUCAACUUAAUCAAUAAUGGAGUCAACUAUUUUAUAAAAUUCGUAAUAAUUAAUCAAUGUUAUAUUUUGACGAGAUUUCGAUAAUAUCUUAAUAAAUUUUUAUUCGAUUAAACUUAAAUUUAUUGAAGAUUUCUAAUCAAGCUUUUUACAGAAAAUAUUAAAUGAAUGUCUCAUGAAUCAUGAUGAAACUAAUUAAUAAGUGAUUGGUAUGAUGAAGUUGUAAUUUCGUUCGUUUUUUUCUUUAAAUUUGUUUUUGGGUGAUAUCAAGUUUUUGAUAGUUUUAAUAGCUAAGUUAUAUAGCUUGCACUUUUCAUUAAUUAUAACUUGCCUUUGUUGAAGGAGUUUUCUUUUCUUUAUUUGAAAAAAAGUUUGAGAAAUUAUUGAACAUAAACUAUUUUAGCGCCAUAUUUUUUAAUUUAUUUAAAAAAUUGUCAAAUAUAAAUAGUAAAAGGAUAUUUCACUAAAAAAAUAAAGGUACAUUUUACAAAAUACUUUAAUUUGACUAUUUUUAAACUAAAUUUAAAAUAUUGAUAAAAUUAUAUUUGUUUAAAUAUGAAUAGUAAUUAUCAGCAAAAAUCUAUUAAUUACUCACUCGACUUACAAUUGCGGUAGUCCACAAAACCUAAACAUGAAAAUUUUAUCAUAUGCUAAUAACAUCAUAAUGUUUUGGAUGAUGCAAAUAUAUUGUUUAACAUCAUAAUGUCAACACAUUUAUUAUAAUUCUAUUAAUUAGGUAUUUGUUUAUUGCCAAAUAUUUCUUCUAUUAGGUUUGCUUGUACAGUCCAUUGGUAUUUAAUUUUUUGGAAUUUAAAAUAUAUUCUUUUAAACUGUCUUAUAAAUCGAUUGUCAUAUUUUCUUACAAAAAAUAAAUAUUAAUAAAAUGUUGUUCAUUAUUUCCAUACUAUUUGUGAAUAGUAGUCAAAUAGUUAAAAUCAAAUAAAGUAGCAUUAUUUUUUAAAAAACAAAAUUCGCAAAUGAUGGAACUUGAUUUUGAAGCCAAAAGAUUUUAAAAUAUCUUUCUAUGACAAAGACUAAAACUCAUUCACUUAUAUAUUCUAUUUUAAUUUGCAGUAGGAUAUAAAAAAAUUCCUUAUUACUAUAACCACUCAAAAAUGUGAAUUUUUUUUUAGAAUUGAAAAAAAUGAAUUUAAACUUUACACUUUAAAUAAAGAGAUCAUAUACCAAUCAAUUAACAAAAUACCUGAGUACAAAAAAAAUGUGAUUAAUAUACCUAACAUUUCUUUAUGAAACUAUUUGCAGUAUAUACUUAUACCAACAGGAAGGAAUUUUUUUUAGAAAAAAGAAUCCCAAAAGAAAAUUCACAAUUAUUCUACAUACUAACAUUAAAGUUUUUAAACUAUACAAAGAAAUUAAAAAAUUGUCUAAUGUUUGAUUAGAGUAUGUUUAUUGAAAUUAAUAAAUUGUUAUAAUAACUAAAUAAAUAUGUUAUAUAUAAAAUAAUAAUUUGCCAAAAAAAAGAGGACCUACUAUUAAAUCAAAAUUUGAACCAAAAUGAACCCACCCCACUAGCUUGGUUAAUGCCCAUUUACCUUUAUUUUCCAUGGCAGUCUAAAUUUUUGGCAAAAAGGCUUACCUUUCACGUUAUCUCUUUGAUUGUACCAAAGAUUAAUUUUUUUAAUGUUUCCUUUGGCAUUCUCCAAAACCAUGCGGGUUCCAUCCACGGAGAAGAAUUACUUAACCAAGUAAAAAAAAAAUGAAAGAAAGAUAUUUAAAGAAAUUUUGAUAAAAUAAAAUAAAUUGCAAAUAUCAUUUUAUUUUGUUGAAGUAUUUUGAAGCACAAAAUUGAGAAAGACCAAUAAUUAAAUAAGCUUUGAUUGAUUUAUUUGAUAAUAAUGAAAUCUGUGAAUGCAAAAGGCUAAAAUUAAGUACGGAAAUGCUUCAUUUGAAGGACAGAGUAAGGAAAGAAGAAGCGAGUAAAACCAUGGAAAGAUAUAGUAAAAUUAAGAGAGCAACGAAUGAAGGGAUUAAUGAAUACUUCAGUACUCACCUAAUGACUUGUGAAUUUGUCUAAUAAAUUUUUAACUGUUUCCAAAAGGAGAGGAUUAAGAGUUGUGAUCAUGGAAGUGUUGGAACACGUAGCCUUACCCUUUCUACAACUUGGGUUUGCCUUUAUUCAAGGCAGAAACAAAUCCAUUUGACUCAUGCAUGAAGAACAAGAACAUGAUUCAAAACACUAACGUGGCCAUACUGACCUACACUACCCUAAAUAGUCCAAUUCCCCAAAAGUAGGAAUUAGCUUUCGAUGACUCCUUUAGGGAUGGUAAUGAGUACUUGAUUAUAGGAUACUUGUGAGUAUCCGAUCCGAUUAUAUAAAAUUAAGAUAUCUUAUAAUACAAGUUUAUAAAUAAAUAAAUAAAUUUAUAGUUAAUAUUAAAUUAUUAUGAUUAUGAUUUGUUUACGUAUAUAUAAUAAAUUAAUAUAUUUUAAAUAUAUUAUUAAUUAAAUUUACUAUUAAUUCGUCAUGAUAUAUAUAAAAAAUAUUUUUUAUAUAUUAAUAUAUAUAAAAUAAUUUAAUUUUUUAAAUGAAUUGAUCUAAAAGUUUUAAAAUCGAAAAUCGAUCAAAAAUUUAAUUGAAUUAAAUUUUUUGACUAAACAACUCAAUAGAUCAAUUACAUUGAACUAUUUUACUUAAAUUACAUUUAAUUUAAAUGAUUAAUUACUCGGAUUUGAUUUUAAUCACUUCUGAAUUUCGUACAAAGGGAUGCCCCGGAGGAAAGGCUCAAUGAUUACAGUAACAGCAGUAGGCAACCAUCUUUACCCGUCACUUAUAAAUAAUUUCGACACGUGGCAUCAUAAUACACCGACCGCCACAUAUGCAUAUGACGUGGCCCCUCAAAAUUCACGAGGAAAUAGCCGCAGCUCCACCCGAAGGUGGAGUUGACAUGCGCCAAAACUUAAAAUGUCAAAGAAAGCGUACAGACAUAAAGCGAGUUUGGUCGUUUCUCAGAUAUAUGCUAACCUGUGUGAAAAUGUUGAAUGAAUAAAUGAGCACUGUCUUCAAGCUGGCUGUUUCCUGUUCACUUUUUGGUUGUCUGUUUUACUUUCAGUUCCGGGUCCAACUGGUAUUCCAUUUAGAAGAUUGUUCAAGCUUCUAAGCUCCAAGAUUUCUGCUUCUUUACUUACCAGGAGUCUUCCUGGCAACUGGCAAGUUAGUGUUAGUUCACAUUUUCCAUCUUUGUAUCAUCACAUUUCACUUUUAUUUUGCUUAGUUUAACAAAUGAUUUAUAGCUAGAGCUUGGUUUGUUGAUUCUUUGUGCUAGGGUCAGAGCUCCAGUGGAUUUUUCAUUGCCAUGUUCCAAAUUUGCUAUCUUCUUGCUUCUUUCUUAUGUUUGAAAAGAUAGGUGAGAGAGAGAGUUUGAACACAAUAAUUCAACACAAUAUUUCAAAGUUACUGUGUAAGAGUUGAUUUGAAAGUUUGGUAGCCAGCUAGCUACUAAUAAUUGGGAGAUGUUGCUGGUGAAGAUGUAUUUCGAUGGUUGAACUGGGAUUUUUAGUCUGAAACUCAUUUUAUCUUCUUAAUGCACCUUGGUUACUGUCUAUGGUGGGUUUCAAAAGUUAAGUUUACAACUUCCAACAGUAGUGUGUGCUUUAAGAAAUGUGUCAAUGGUAGCUAUUUGUUGUUUGUUCCCUGAUUCUGCAGAUAAAAUUUCUAUUCUGUUUAGAUGAUUGACAUCUCAAGAGAAGUGACUGUUACUUGUGUGAUGCUAAACCAAACAAUUUUCAAGUUGGUUAAUUCGCACCUUGCUUUGCAGAAAUAAAUGGCAUAUGAUCUGGGCAUAGCAUUUUACAUCACCAUAUGCUGCAUUGCCUUUAUUAUAUCGAAGAUCAUUCUUUGGAUUCUCCUUUAUAAGCGAUGGAAAAGAAAGACGAUGAUUUAUGAGGAAGGUUUCUCAGGUAUUGAACCUUCUAAAUGAUGACUUUUUUUUCCUAUAAUUUGACUUCUGAUGGAGGCAAAAAUGAUGCUUUUCCAACUUGGUAGCUUCUGGCAUAUGCAUGAAUGCAGGAGGGAAGAUGGUGAUGUUUAGGUCUCCAGUGUUGCAGUCUGUCUCAUCUGAUGUGUUGUUAAAGAAGACAUUGAAGUUAAGCAACAAAGACAUCAUUGGUGCUGGAGGGUAUGGUACAGUUUACAAAUUAAUUAUAAGUGAUACCAUGGCCUUUUCCGUGAAAAGGCUAAAUAGAGGAACUGAAGAUAGAGAUAAAGGAUUUGAGAGAGAAUUGGAAGCAAUGGGGGAUAUCAAGCACCGCAACAUUGUAACUCUGUACGGAUACUACAGCGCCCCUCACUACAAUCUUCUGAUAUAUGAGCUAAUGCCUAAUGGAAGUUUGGAUGCUUUUCUGCGUGGUAUGCACAUUUUUUCUUCAAAUACUAGGUUUAUCUUCAAGUUUUCAGCAUCCAUAUUUGUCAAAGUUAAGAGGGUCGAUAAUUUUUCUUAUUUUUUUGAAGAAAAGAGGGCAAAAUUUCAAAACUAUCAAAAUUCCAGAAUGUUGGAUUUUGUUGGAAGUUCAAAGAUCAGACUUGAUGCCCGAAGCAGAAGAUCAAAAGUUGCUGAUAGAUUAAUCUGUGAUGCAGGGAAAUCAAUGGACAGUAAGGUUUUGGAUUGGCCAACAAGAUAUAAAAUAGCAUUAGGUGCUGCAAGAGGAAUAGCAUACCUUCACCAUGAUUGUAUCCCCCAUAUAAUCCACAGAGAUAUCAAGUCAAGCAAUAUAUUACUGGAUCAGAACAUGGACGCUCGAGUCUCAGAUUUCGGACUUGCCACAUUGAUGGAGCCAGACAAGACUCAUGUUUCAACAUUUGUGGCUGGAACCUUUGGAUAUUUAGCCCCAGGUACGACGAACAAAAUUACAGUCAUUCUUUUCAUCUAGUUUUUGACUGUUUAACAACUAAACUUUGUUCUUCUGCAGAAUAUUUUGAUACAGGAAGAGCAACAGCAAAGGGCGAUGUUUACAGCUUUGGAGUUGUUUUACUAGAGCUUUUAACAGGAAAAAAGCCAACAGAUGAAGCGUUUCUGGAGGAGGGAACAAAACUUGUUACAUGGGUAAGUUCUCCAAUAUCAUGAACAUUUAAUUUGACAUAAUUGUCCAUUACUUGAUAAUGCCUACCUCCAUUUAAAUGUCCAAUAAACUGGUGAAAUUAUCUCUUCCAGUCAUUGGUUAAAAAGAGUUCAUAAAAUUCUUGUUAUUUUUAUCUGUAUGCUAUUCAUCAGAGGCAUUUUCUUCUGUGUCAACUGUCAAGUACAUAUUGGCUAAAGAUUCAUAGAAAAUAGUUGGAAGAGUUUCUGAUGUUCUGUUUCAUUACCAUCUUGAACAGGUAAAGGGAGUUGUUGAAGAAAGGAGGGAAGAAUAUGUGCUUGACAGUAGCUUAGGUUCUUGUCCCGUGGAUGAGAUUAACAAUGCUUUCAAUGUAGCAUUAAUGUGCCUUGAAACAGAACAAACUGUCUUACAUACCUCUCCUGAUUUCCUCAACUUUGUCACUGAAAAGCAAGAGUGCUUUUUAAAUAAUAUCAUGCAUAAUUUUGUUGAUUUUAUAAUUUCAUAUAGGGUUAGAAAAUUACAAUUUGGAUUAAAUAAGAAUUCAUAAUCGAUACAUUGGGUCUAUUACUUUUAUAAGCUAUUUUUAUAGAUUACAACUAGGUAGUCAAAUCAUUAAAAUUAACAUUUAUUAAAUGAAGAUAAAAAAAUAAAUAAGGAAGCAAGCUGUUAUUUGAGAUCAUUCAGCCUAACAUAUAUGCCUGUUUCAUCCGAGCAUUUCAUGCAUGAAUACUUUUCAUUUUUUAAUGAAAGUAGUAAUACAAUAUUUAUAUUGCUCUACAACUCUUACGUAAAUAAACCAAUAUUUUCAUUGACAGAAAUAUUACAUUUGGUUAUUUUUCUACAUUUCUAUUUCUUAAUUCUUUUAUUGGAUUAUUAUUCAAUGCAUAGCAGUUUAUAUAUCUAUAUAUAUAUAUAUUAUAUUAUUUUAUUUUAUUUUAAAAAAUAAUUAUUUAAUUAUUAAAUAAACAUACAAAAAUUUUAAACUUACCUGUAGAAUUAAAAAAAUUCACAAUCAAUAUACAAAAUAAUAAUCUAUUUUUUCAUAAAACCAAACAAACUCAUCAUUUUAAUUUUUUCAUUCUCUUUUUUUUUUUUUUUUUGCUGUAUUUUUAUACUUGUAGGUUUACUCACAUUUUUCAGGUACUUAAAUUUAUUUAUCAUAUGAAUAAUUUUAAAACGUUUUUUAUUAGAAAAUAAAUAUAGCUAGGGUUUGGGAAAGUAAGAGGCAAGCAGCAUGGUUUAGGAAAGAUAGCAACCAAAAAAAAUAUUAUCUGGCUUAGGGUAUCCUCGAAAUCUACCUAAAGCCAAGUUGAGUAUUAAAAAGUUUAUUCAAACUCUAUUCAUUACCGAAUAGAGGGUAUCCCAAUCUUAUGUUAUCAAGUCAAAUACGUGUGGAUACUAUAUAAUAGUUACCUGUUACAUCCUAAGUUAGACUUCACAAUUUCUUUAGGAAACAAUUUGUUGUAUGUACUUGUACCAAAAAGAAUAAACAAGCUAUUUUACUAUAAAUAACAAUAGGACCACUACAGCAAAAUAGAAAACUAAAAAAAGGGAAAAUUGAGAAUAUCAAUAAUUAAAUAAGCUUUGAUUGAUUUAUUUGAUAAUAAUGAAAUCUGUCAAUACCAAAAGGCUGAAAUUAAGUAAGGAAAUGCUUCAUUUGAAGGAGAGAGUAAGGAAAGAAGAAGCCAGGAAAGCCCUGGAAAGAUGUAGCAAAAUUAAGAGAGCAAUGAAUGAAGGGAUUAAUGAAUACUUCAGUAGUCACCUAAUGACUUGUGAAUUUGUCUACUAAAUUUUUAAUUGUUUCCAAAAGGAGAGGAGUAAUAGUUGUGAUGCAAGUGUUGGAACACAUAGCCUUACUCUUUCUUCAACUUGGUUUUGCCUUUAUUCACUGCAGAAACAAAUCCAUUUCGCUCAUGCAUGCAGAACAAGAACAUGAUUCAAAACACUAACAUGGCUAUACUGACCUUCACCACCCUAAAUAGUCCAAUUCCCCCAAAGAAGAAGAAUCCUUUAUAGCAUGUUUGGUUGGGGGAAUGGCUAAGCCAUUCCCCCUUUAUUCCCAAGGAAUUUUUAUUCCUUUGUUUGGUUGAAAAAUAAUCCAAGGAAUAGCCAUUCCUAUGGAAUGACUAUUCUUAAAAAUCCUUCAAAACCAAGGAAUAGCUAAUACCAUCCUCUCCCAUGGUAUUAGCUAUUCCAUGAUUGAGGAAUAAAUUUAAAAAUUAAUAAAGACAAAAAUACCCCUUACAAGUUUGAAAAUUUACAACUUUAUUAGUAUAAAAUAUUAUUUUUCUCUCUCUUCUCUUUCUCUCACUUGAUUUCAAUUUUUAAUAAAAUAUUAAUUUUUUUAAAAUAUUAAUAUUAAAUUAUAAUAAAUAUUAAUAUUUAAAAUUAAUNNNNNNNNNNNNNNNNNNNNNNNNNNNNNNNNNNNNNNNNNNNNNNNNNNNNNNNNNNNNNNNNNNNNNNNNNNNNNNNNNNNNNNNNNNNNNNNNNNNNNNNNNNNNNNNNNNNNNNNNNNNNNNNNNNNNNNNNNNNNNNNNNNNNNNNNNNNNNNNNNNNNNNNNNNNNNNNNNNNNNNNNNNNNNNNNNNNNNNNNNNNNNNNNNNNNNNNNNNNNNNNNNNNNNNNNNNNNNNNNNNNNNNNNNNNNNNNNNNNNNNNNNNNNNNNNNNNNNNNNNNNNNNNNNNNNNNNNNNNNNNNNNNNNNNNNNNNNNNNNNNNNNNNNNNNNNNNNNNNNNNNNNNNNNNNNNNNNNNNNNNNNNNNNNNNNNNNNNNNNNNNUAAAUAAAAUAUUAAUAUUUUUAAAAAUAAAUAAAUAUUAAUAUUGAAAUUAUCAAUUAUUAAUAUUUUAAAUAAAUUAUCAAUUAUUAAUAUUUUAAAAAUAAAAUAAAAUAAAAAAUUAAUCAUAAUAAUAUUUAAAUUAAAUAAAUGUUAAUAUUUAAAUGAUUUAUUAUUAAUAUUUUAAUUAAAUUCUAGAUUAUUAAUAUUUAAAAAAUCUAAUAAAAUAAAAUGUCAUAUAAAUAAUAAAGGAUGUUUUUGUCUUUUUAUUUUCUAUUCUUUUCUUAUUCCCAAAUUAUUGUUACCAACCAAACACUACAAUAAGUCAUAAUAAUUAUUCCUGUUCUAUUCUUUUUGUCAUACCAAACUAAGUAAUAACUAUUCUAUUCUAUUCCCACCUCAUUCAAUUCCCACAUAAUAACUAUUCUAUUCCAUUCCUGUCUAUUUCGCCAAUCAAACGUACCAUUAGAGUUCGAUGACUGCUUUAUUGAAAGUAGGAAUUUGCUUUCGGUUACUCAUGGCCAGUUUUUUCCUUGUCUUUUUCGAUCGGAACUGCUGCCUCCAACAAACUACAUGGGGUCUUUCUUCGAAAGAGAAUUCGACGACUCCAAGUCAAUACCCAACUCAAUUAUUAAGCUACCCUCACAAACUUCUUUAACCUUCACACAACAAAAAUACAUCUCUUUUCCACGUACUUCAAUCUCCAUUUUGAUUUCUCUCUUUCUUGCUUGAGCAUAACAAUCAUGUCUUUUGUUUGGGAGGCUGCUCUCACAGCUUUCUUUGAUGUGUUGUUUGGCAAGUUAUCCUCUUCUGAUUUCCUCGACUUUGUCACUAAAAAGCAGGUCCGCAAGGAGCUCAACGAGUGGGAAACGAUGCUGCGGGAUAUCCGUGCCGUGCUUGAUGAUGCAGAGGGGAAGCAGAUGAAGGAUCAGUCUGUGAAGAACUGGUUGGCCGAGCUUCAAGACUUGGCUUACGAUGUUGAUGACAUUUUGGACGAGUUUGCCACUGAAGCUUUAGGGCGCAAGCUGACAUCCUUGGAGGAACCUCAAGGCAUCAAAAAUAAGGUACAAAAGAUCAUUCCUACUCGUUUAUUCUUUCCAAAAACUUUCAUGUUUAAUAAGAAGAUGAUACACAAGAUUAAAGAGAUCAGUGCUAGAAUGAAUCGUUUGGCCACAAAAAGAACUCACUUGGGAUUGGGAGGCAUUAAUGAGGGAGCAAGGCCCAACAUAAUGACACAAAGUCAGCCUACUUCUGUGGUGGAUGAAACUAAGGUGUACGGCAGGCAAGAAGAAAAGGCAGCAUUACUUGAAUUGCUUUUGAGCAAUGAUGGCACUGGCAAUGAAGCUUCUGUGAUUCCCAUCAUUGGCAUGGGAGGAAUUGGCAAGACAACUCUUGCACAACUUCUCUACAAUGAUACUCGUAUAGAGAAUUCUUUCGAGUACAAGGCGUGGGUAUGCGUUUCCGAAGAUUUUGAUGCCGUUAGCAUAACAAAGAGAAUUCUACGGUCAAUCAAUCGUGGUUGUUGUACCGAUGAUAAUGAUCUCAAUUUACUUCAAGUUGAGUUGAAGAAGAUGCUGGCUGGGAAAAAGCUUUUGCUUGUCCUGGAUGAUAUCUGGAACGAGAAUUAUCUGGAGUUGACCAACCUACUUUCUCCAUUUGGAGUUGGAACCAAAAUUCUCGUCACAACACGGAGUCACAAUGUUUCUUCUAUUAUGGGCACUGUUAAAGCUUACCCACUACAACAGUUAUCAGAGGAGGAUUGUCUAUCUGUAUUUACUCGACAUGCAUUAAGAGCAAAUGAUUUUAGUGGGCAUCCUGAAUUAAAAGAAGUUGGGGAAAUUAUAGUGAAAAAGUGCAAAGGCUUACCUUUGGCAGCUAAAGCCAUUGGUGGUUUACUACGCACUAGCCUGGACUAUGAGGCAUGGAAAGGUAUAUCAGAGAGUGAGAUAUGGGGCAUACCAGAAGAGAAAUGCAGCAUAAUUCCAGCUCUACGAUUGAGCUAUCAUCAUCUUCCUUCACAUUUGAAGCGAUGCUUCACAUAUUGCUCUAUACUCCCUAAAGAUUAUGAAUUUGGGGAGGAAGAGAUAACCUUGUUAUGGGCAGCAGAAGGUUUUCUACAGGGAGCAAGCCCUAAAACUGAAAUUGAUGACCUAGGUCGUCAAUAUUUUCGAGAUCUAGUAUCAAGGUCAUUUUUUCAAACAUCUACUAGAAACAAAUCUCGAUUUGUAAUGCAUGACCUUGUCAAUGAUCUAGCUCAAUCGGUUGCAGGAGACAUAUGCUCCAAAUUGGAGGAUGAUAAGCAAAUGAGAUUUUCAAAACGUACCCGACAUUCAUCUUAUAUUAGUGGCCGAUACGACGGAAUGAAAAAGUUUGAAGCCUUUGAUCAAAUGAAGCAUCUACGUACCUUUCUAUCAUUGUUGGGGUUGUCGUGGACACGUGAAGUUGAUUGUUAUUUAAGUAAUAAUAUCCUCACUGAUUUAUUGCCCAAACUUAGAUACUUAAGAGUUCUUUCUCUGAAAGGGUAUUGGAAUAUUGAGUUACCAAAUCUUUUUCAAGAGUUAAGACAUUUGCGUCAUCUAGAUUUUUCUUAUUCUAAAAUUAAAAGUCUACCUGAUUCAAUAUGCACCCUUUAUAAUCUAGAAACCUUAUUAUUACAUGGGUGUUACAAUCUUGAAAACCUACCGUCAAAUCUACAAUUUCUAGUCAACUUGAGUGUUCUCGACAUCACUUGUGCAAUUUCAAUGAACAAGAUGCCGUUUGAAAUUGGUACCUUAACCAAUCUUCGAAGACUAUCUGAUUUUGUUUUGGGCAAAGGUGAUGGACAUCAAAUACAAGAGAUGAAGAAUUUGUUAAAUCUCAAGGGUAAGCUUUGUAUCUCAG
This 81005-nucleotide long non-coding RNA is filed under the name Theobroma cacao (cacao). RNAcentral describes it as "long non-coding RNA (TCAC_LNC004330)". Lineage: Eukaryota; Viridiplantae; Streptophyta; Magnoliopsida; Malvales; Malvaceae. The record is from RNAcentral.